Molecule: long non-coding RNA, 45849 nt
Filed under: Xyrichtys novacula (pearly razorfish)
Lineage: Eukaryota; Metazoa; Chordata; Actinopteri; Labriformes; Labridae
Source: RNAcentral
CCGGUCUACCAAAAUACCACUAGACCAGCUGCGCUCCGCCUGCGCUGAAAGCUGACCAGGUUUGAAUCAGCGAAUCGGCAGGGUCCUCCACCCUCCACCGCCUCACUGGCGGACAUGAAAAAUAGAGCCCACAGUCUUGUAACGCCAUAUUUUGACAUCAGCAUAGAGAAGACAAACUGACUGAUUGUUGUUUGCAAAAGUCUUUCUGAAGAAGGUUUUUAGACUGAAAACUUGUUAUGCAUCACAGGAAUAUAUUUCAAUUGUCUGCUAACAAACCCCUAUAAUCGAUAUUAGACUUUAUAUAUUUUGCCAUGCUUUUAUUUUGAAUUCUGUUUCUUUAAGAUGUUCUUUUGUGCUGUUGUUUUAUGAGUCACUGCUCCUGAACUUUUCCAUGUUUUUGAUUUUGGACAUGAAUUCAGGGCUGUGAGUUUGUGGUUGGCAUGUUUGCUGCUGUUUGCUAUUUUCACUCAUGUGUGACUCGAACUCUUUUGGGAGAGAAACCUCUAUUAAAUGUCGUCCAGAGAGAGCUGACAGUGCAAUCACGUCUAUCAGGGUCUCACCUUGUUCGACAUUUUAAAUGAUGAUGCUUUGAACUGAAGCUUACUCAUGCAUCUGUACUUAGACCAAAAUACAAAUCCAGCCCACACCAACACACAGGACUGCUUUAAAGUCCAUCAUUGGUAAUGUACAUUGUGCUUUAUUUGCAGUUUCUUUAAUGUCAUUUCUGCUGUGUGUCAUAUUAUAACUUUGUGAGUGACAGAAGAGAGAGGAAAGAGGAGGAGACCAGAUGGUGGGUGAGAGAAAUAAUUACUGCCUUUUCUUUAUGACAUUUACAACAAUUAUGAGACAGGAGUUUGCCAAUGCAUGUUGUUCUAAGAAAAGGACAUCUCUAGUGUCUUGUGCACCAACUUGUGUUUCAACAGAAUAUUAAGAAUAGUGUUAACUGAAAAACUAGAACUGUAAUGCCACUAAGUGCUAACAAGAGAAAUCCGAAGUGUCUUUUGAUUUUGUGUAAAACUGUUAAAGUGAUGGAUAAAUUACUGUUUUUGUCCAGGGUUGCAAAUGGGUUCACAGUUUCAGCUUCAAAAUUAAAGCAAAAGUCAUUUGAAGUUCCAGUAUGUGAUCAUUUCUCUCAUCAACGCCAUUGGUCUGACUUUGGUCUUGAACUUCUUGCUCCCUGCAGUGUUUGUAGCGAGUUUCUCUGAUUCCCUCUCAAAGUCAUUGUGGUGAAUUUUGGAGGUGUAGAGUUCACUGAAGCCGAGCAGGCCAGCGAUGGAGAUAGCUGUGAUUGCCUGGAUCUGUCGCCUUCUGCUUUGGUUCACCGCCAGCUUUGUGGUUUGACUUCCAAUCGACUUCAGCUCCAGAUGUUCGCAGCUAUAUGCCUGGUGUGUUUGUGUGUAUGUGUGAGUGGGGAUUUUUGGCUUAAGAUGGGUGGGUGUGACCACAUGCAUUUGUGUCACUGGGCUGCCACUUGUGUGAGUGUGAUUUGCGGUGUGGAGUGUGUUUUCUUUCACCUUGUGUUAGUGAUGUCUGAGUGGCCAAACAAACAAAAUCUGUGAAAUUGCAUGAAAGGAGUUUCUUAAACAUGUUUGAUACCAAUGGAAAAACUAGACUUGAGAAGAGAAAAUAAAGAAAACAUUGGUGUUAAUGACAUUGUUGCGGGUGAUCUACAAUUAUUAAGUGCGCAAUUGUAAACAAGUGAAAAAGUGUCGCGGACCGGGUUUUGCGUGCGCUAUCGGCUGUCACCAUGGAGAGUUUGUGAGAGCAGAGUGAUUGUAGAUGAAAAAUAAAGUAUCGUUAUAGACACGAAAAAGCAGCUGCAAUCGGUUUUGAUAAUUCACAUUGUGGGUGCGAAAUGAUUCCAUUUGCAUCUGCUCCUCCCAGUAUUUUGGACGUUCUGAUGAUCUACAUACAUUGCAUUUAUGAAGGCAAACACACUAAAUGGAUCGCGCAAACUGUUUUGCUCAUUUGACAGACACAAUCCUCGGUGCACCCGGUUUUAGUAGAUCAGGUUUGCGUGCUCUAUCAAGUUAGCACAUGUUUUUGCACACGCAAACCCUUUGUGGAUUAGGCCCUUAGUUUUAGUUUCAACUACCGAAAGUGAGAUGUACCUAGGACUGGGCAAUUAUGAUUAUGAUUGAUAAUCGUGAUAAACUUCAGUUCCAUCAUGGUGAUCAGCUGUGAGCAUAUUUACUUGAUCAAACAUGGCGGAAAUGUGCGUCACAAAAGCCAAUCAGAGUUGAGCUUUUCCUGCUCAAUUCUGUAAGCUGCCAGAGAAGUAAACAGGAAACAGAAUGACUGAACAUGGAGCUAAACGCAGAGCUGAGGGCAGCAAAAUAGAUGUCAGCCAUGACUUUGAGUUAUCCUCCAAAGAUGCUACUGUUGAGAAGAAAAGUUAUUUGACGCCGGUUGUGUGGCUGUGGUUUAGGUAUCUCCAGGUGACGUCAAGCAAUUAAGCCAAUGUGCAAGGUAUGUCAGUGGUCGGUGCCAUCAAAAAUCGGCAACACAACAGAUCUGUUUAAUCAUUUGAAGAAGUACAUCCCGAGUGAUUAUGCGGAAAGCAUGAAAAUGCGAGCAGAGUCUGCACAACCUGCCACUGCUGGCGGCACAAGUAGCAUUAGCAGUUUAGCCACAACUAGCGGUGCAGCCACCAGACCAAAACAGCAAUCAAUCAUAUCAUCUACGUUUGCAUCAUUUAAUGUUUUUGGUGUAUGGCGUCUUCAUUAUCCCUGAGGGGGCGAUUAGUUUAUUUUGGGUCUUGAAUACCUGCAGAAACACUCAGGACUGUAAACUAAUUCACUACAUUUGUUGUACUGUUGAGUUGUUGAUGUUUUUCUAAGUUUAUCUUAUCCAAUUUGCUUUGUUAUUUACUUUGUAUCAUAAUAAAAUGUUGAACUAAUCUUUCAUUUCUUUAGUACAGGUGCUUCAAAACUGGUAGUUUAAAAAAAAAAGUGAUAAUAAUCGAGAUCAGACAAUAUGACAAAAUAUAUUGUGAUAAUUUUUUUUUCCAAAUCGCCCAGUCCUACCUACAGCUCUUUUACUGAUCUUUUUGCUAUGACUAUCACCUUUGCAUCUUUCAUCUGCACGUACUUACAGCUGAAUGAAACAGUUGACUGUUGUUCUCUGGGAAUUACAAGAGGGUGUUGGUGAAGUGCACUUGGGUAAAACAGAAAUAGACGAAACAGACUGAGGAGCUGGGCAGAAAGAUUGCACAAUAAAAUAAACCCACUCCCUGGUGCGCUGAACAUCACAAGUUGAUAUGUGUUACCUUGUCUGCUCCUCCACUCCUGCCUGUCCUGUGACGGCACUGUGGACCUACAAAAUGAAAAAGUAGAUCCUCUGGAAGUGAAUACAGGUUCAAGCCAAUUUUGGACGUUUAUGGUUUCUGUGUUUGUGUUGUGGAAAUUGCACCUUCUGCUCUAUCACAAACACCAUGUUUUGUCUUCUUCUUGUAUCAGUAAAAAGGCCUCCUUCAAAGCAUGCUUUUACCUAACUUUUGUCUUCUUACCAAUUAGUGCUCAGAUUUAGCUUAAAUGACCCAAUUUACUUUCAGCUUCAAGCCAACUGAGCCAAUUACUGGUUAAAUACACUGGAAUGAUGAGUUGUCUUGCAAUUGUGAACUAAUUUCCUGCAAAAGACUUAAUUACUUUUAGCUUUUUGUGGAGGACUUGGCUUUCCAUCCAAGAAUGCACUAAUUUCUCUCUUUUCCUUUUUCUUUUUCUCGGUGACUUUCCUCUGGACAUCAAUAGGUAAGAAAGUUUAAGCUUGUUUUGUGUCCUGUUUUCUUAGAGCUCAUAUUCAAGACAAGUGACCUUACAGAUAAAUCACUGCCUGUGCGUCAGCAAUUGAAGCAUUUUAGUGACUUUAAACUGAAUACAUCAUAUGACACAUAGUGUCAUAAAAGACUAAGAAUGAACAAAUGUAUCAAAAUGUAUCUCGUUCAUCUUAAAGCUAAAGCAGUUGAGUGCAGCUUUAAGGUUACAGUUGUUAAAAGCUGACUGCCAGUCUUGCAGACAUUAACCUGAACUCCUCCUUGCUGCAGUCUGUAUGAAUGCAAUUCGCAUACUGGUGAAAGGAAAUGUUGUUUCUCAUCGUCUUUUUGUUUUGUUGCUGGAAAUUCCAUUAAAAAAAUGACUGAGCAUGAUGACUUCCUUAUAGUGACUUGCGCCAUGAAGAAAACAUACAAACUGGACAAAUAUUAAAGCUACUUUGAGGAAUUUUUUGAUGUUCAUGAAACAAGCCAUAAUUCAUACUGAUGCCUUUUAAUGAUAUUAAAAAGCAAACAGGACCAUCAGUGACAAGCCUGACAGUUUGUAUUUUAUAUGAAGCUGGAGGAGACAGCUAGCUAGCUGCACAAGAGGAGUAAUGGAGUGCUGCGGGGAGGGGGGGCUGUUGUUUUGAAUCGGUCCUGAAUAUGAGGGGUUUGUUGACACAGUUAACAUUUUAGUUAUAGUUCAGAUUUCCAUGUUUUUUUUUGUGCACUGUGUUGCAAGAUGUAGCUCUGCACAGGUAAUGGAGGGAGGUUAUGCUGGACUUCUUUACAUUUAGCAUUAAUAAAAGCCCAAAUACCAAGUAACAUUGCUCUUAGCUCUCAAAUAUUUAAACAUAAAAUAUUUAGGAACAGCAGAAAGAUCAGUGUCAUGUAUACAAAAAGUUUUACCACAUAUUAACGUCUGUUAGAUGAGUUUAAGCAUCAUUUUAUUAUAGAUAGAAAAAAUAGCAUCAGAAGAAGAAGUUGUAUAAUCACUUUAUUCACCUAAAAAACAAGCUGACAUAGAGGGCAUAUCGAGAUCCUCAUGACAAUGAAGGAUAACAUUAAUUUUGUGUAGAUGCUCGCAGUUUGCUCCAGUUUAGCUUUGUCAGCUUUCGCUCCUGGGUUUGAAUUCCAGCAUUAAGACAACAUUUAAGGUCAGCCCUUUAGUGGUAUCUAUGAAGCUGUUCAGGUUUACAAGUACUGAGGAAACAUUAUCCUGCUAAAGAGGUCUGCAUCACAAUGGGUAGUGACUGAAUCAACAUCAAGUUCAAGCUCUAGGACUUUUUCUUCAAAACCUGGUUGCAGGGAUGAUGAAGUCGGUUGUUCAUAAAACUCCAAGAAAUAGGGGUUGAAUUGCAUUUUAUUGCAAGGAACCUGGGUUGUAACCAACUUAUCACAAGUUCUACUUUCUAAGCACUAAGCAGUUGGACUGUCAGGCAGUGAUUGCAGAGGUAAUAGAGUUGGUUGUUCAUAAAAUUGCAAGUAUUGUAGUUUGAUCCUCAAUCUUGCUGUCCAUGUGAAGGAAUAUGAUGAAGCUUUUAAACUUCUUGGACUGCCCUCUUUCACUGCACUCACACAGAAAACUCUUUUUUCACUGCACCAUACAGCAUAUCAAAAACAUAUUCAUCAUUGCAGCUGUACUUUAGUCAGCUCACUUUUUCUUCAUUCCUGCUGCCACAUCCCUCAAGUAAAAGCUACACUGCUUUUCAAAAGCUUCACUUCCACCCAGCAUCCAACAGCAGGCCCUGACUUCAUGUUCCCCUAGAGAGGAGGUUAUUAGCCUAGCUCCCCCUGCUGUGCUGAGCUUGCUGCUUCUAUGUCGAGAGCAUGGAGGUCGGAGCCUAGACCACAAAAACAGCUCUACAAUUUACUACUUUCACAUCAUUGUCCCAAUGCUAUGUGGAUUGGUUGGUUUGAACCCAGAACUCCCAUUCACAAAUAUCCCAGUGCCCUGCAUGAAUGGUCAGCUGUUUAUUAGUGUGUAAAGGUGGAUUGUAUGGGUGGGAGAAAAAAUCAAUACAGCACAGUAUCGCGAUAUUUUGUCUGGUGACAUAUUGUAUUGUCUCAUCCACCAAGUAUCGAUUUUUUCAAAUUCACUGCUAAUACGAAGUCAAAUCUAUGAAAAUGGAAAAAGAAAAUCAUUUUUUUGUCCACUAAGCUGAGGUGACAUCAUGGAGCAGGAGAAAGUUAGUGCAACAAAUAUGGCAGCACCUGGGGAAAGACAUUAGGAAUGCAAGCAAGGCACAUAUGAGAUGGACAUGACAUAUGAGGUUUGCAAGAAGUGCUACAUAUAAAUAAAAUAUUGCCUCAAUAAGACAAACAUCAGGGAAAGAAAAAAAGCUUGAUCAGCUAAGCAGUGGAAAAAGUGUACAAAUCCCAAUAUAUGGUUUUGCAAUACUCACGGAAUCGCAAAAUGUUUAAAAUUGUAAUAAUACUGAAUCGUGCCCCAAGUAUCGUGAUAAUAUUGAAUCCAAUUGUGAUUCCCACCCCUCAUGGAUAGAUGUUUGUUGGUUCCAUUUUGAAUGCAGUCAUUUUCAUUCAUUUGGUGCCAAAUUACAACAGUCUUAUGACACGUCAUGGUGUAGGUCUAAUGCUAGGUGUGGGAAUCACAGGGUUACCUGACGAGACCAUAUAAUAUCAAUUUGUGGCUCUCCAUACAUCUGCUUUUGUAUAGCAACAUAAAUUGCUUUGUUGAGUUAUACAACAGGAGCAAGUUUCCCUUCAUAAAUUCUGUGAAAAAAGAAGCACAAUUCAAAUUAAAUCCUAACAGAGCCAGAGGAUAUUUUUUUUUUUACAAAACAUGCAAAAUUACAUUAUCACUGACUGCCUGAGCUUGUGUUUUUAGAUAAAAAGUCAUUUUAACUCCCGCAGUGUAGAAUAUCUUUAAUGGCAGAUGCUUUUAUUUGUAUGCAAAUCAUGUACAGACUGCUGAUAGCUAUGCUACCUUUUCAUGCCAGACACUUGCUUUUGUUGAGCCUGUGUGGGAGUAUUCAUUUAUAGACAUAUAGGUGUGUGAGGUGCAUGAGUACACCGACAUGCAGAACAUGUUUACCCUUCUCACAUCAUCUAUUUAUUAAUUCAUUUUUUGUUUGCUCUCUGAGUAGCUUUCAUUUUAUGUGCGUGAGGGAGAGCCUACAACAACAUAUGCCCUCCAUAGUAUGAAUUACUAAUUACAGUUUUUGUUUAACAAGCUGGUGGGCAUAUGUGUAGUGUUAUAGUUUUAAUUUAGCAACCCAUAGGAGCCUCAAAAUACCACCUCUAGUUGCUUUAAGCCCCUGUGAAUAUGUGGAUAUGUUUCUAUAUGUUCAUGUCAGUUUGUGUUUGUAUGCAUUUGUACAACUGUAUGAGAUCUAGAUAAAUAGACAGACAAAUGGAAAUGAUAGUAGUGAGACAAACCCCAGGGGGACACAGCCGGCUUUGAAUAGGUGGAAGUAUUAGUCUUAAACAAUCUCCCCUUUACAGGUUUACUCAAGCCAUGCUCGCAGUAAUGUGUUUUUGUCUCCCAUUGACUCUGAAUUGCAUUUCAUUCGGUGCCCUGCAAUCCACUUCCCUCUUGCUUUCUCUCUCACUCUCUCUCUCUUUUUAUUGCAUCUCAUCAGCCGUGGGGAAACGACCCAGCUGCUGCUGUGAUGCCACUCACGGCCAAUGCGCCCUGACAGAUUCCAAUUAAGUUGGAAAAUGUAACGUAUGAAUAUUAGAAAGUACCCUGACACAAACAUCAUCCCUUCUUUUGUUGCAUUAUGCAGCUUGUUGUCGGGGGUCUCCGCUGGUCCACCGUUUACAGUCAGUUUAUUUCUCCUUCUCCCCGUCUCCAUCCUGCUCAUCCCCCCUCUCUCCUUAAAGGCUGUUUGUUUAACAGCUGUAAAUAUGCCCACUACGCACCUAAACUCUCAUUUAAAGCCCAAGAUGUGGUUUUUGUCAAUCGUUGCAUCUCUAUUUGGCUUCCUGUGCUCAUUCCAAUAAGCAUUUGCAGGCAGGGAAGUGAAAUAAAUGAAGAGUCGACUCAGGGGAAUGUGUAAAUAAAUGCAAACCUGUAUGAUAUCUCAUUUCUAUGUGCAUAGAUUAUAUCAGUGUCAACUGAACAGCAAGAAAUUGUCAUUUUGUCUGACAACAACAUCUGAAUAGCAGUGUGUAAAGUCUCACAGUUUCAGCUUGGUUGUUUAUUUUUUUCCUGUAUGUGUAUGUUUGUGUAUCUUUUUUGUCUGAGACUGAACUGGCAACCCCAAACUGCCAGCUCUGUGGUAGUUACAUCAGCGCACAGCUCAGUAGCACAGCUUCAUUCUGACAGACUUCCGAUGCCCCUGUGCUGAAUGAGAGCAUUCCUCUGAGCUGCCAGUUCCUGCGAGUAUGUGUGUGUAUUUGUGUGCAUGUGUGUGUCUGUGCCCUGCUGUUAAAGCCAUGAGGCAGAGCCAGGACCCCGUAGCUGGCCUGUAGACCAUGUGUGACCUCAUCUCAACCUGGCAACCCACUUCCCCUCACAUGGUGAUAAGAGGGAUUGCCAAUCGUGCUGUCUGUCUGCCGACUGGAAGUAAAUUAGUCACUUAAAGUCAGUCUGAUGUGCUUAAAACUCUUGAGAAUGUGAUGAUAAUGGAGCGUUAAUGGCUGUGGUCAGCAAAAGAAGAUAUCAGGCAGAGAUUAAGAUGUCUGCGAAGAAAAAGAGAGGUUACAUGUAAUGAAGGUCAAAAAGUAGCUCAAAGAGUCCAUAUGUGAAGUGACUGUUGAACCAGAUGUCUCCUUUUUCCAAAUGCACAAUGGAGCACGCUGGAUCUCUGCACAUUUGAGGUGAAUGUCCAUUGACAACUUGGCAACACUGCCCUUGGAAAUCUUCAUGGGUGUGAAGUGUGUUUUCAAAGUGUUUAUACCAGUUAUUGUAAACCAGUCCCACAUACACUGCAGCCAGAAACGCUUUGGUAGAUCCAAAGGGGAACAAGAGUCACCUGUCUACUUCUACAUCAGCUGUUUUUUUGUUUGUUUGUUUUUUUUAAUGUAUGGUCAGAUCAGAUCGAUCCCCUGAAUGUCCUCGAACAGAAACCUCUUUGGAUGGAUCUCACGUCAACUGACUGAAUAUGAAUGUCCUUUCCAUCUUUGUUACUAAACUUGUGCACAAAUCUUUUUUUUUCAGAUACACAAGUGAAUGAUCUUUAUAAUUGCAGCAGUGGUGAUGAUCCCACUUACCAUCAGUUGGCCUUACUUGUUCAUGAAUGCCAUUAGUUGCCUGUAAUCUGUCCUUUUGGUUGUGUAUAAACUGUUUAACUCUAAAAACAUUACAUUGGUGGUGGACUUGGUCAGUACCAUGGUUUGCUGGGCAUAGUUUAAGAGUGCACUUCAGUAUUUGAGUGUUUGAGUAUUAUGAUUAUUCUGGUGAUUCAUUAAGUAGUCUAAUAGGAUUUAUUUACUGGUAAAUCAAUGAAUAUUUCCCAUCGACUGAAGGAUUAUCUUUUCUUCUCUCAGUACUUGGUAGUGAUAAAAAUUUAAGGAUUUUUUUUUUUAUGUGAAAUAAUUUUUUUUUUUUGAAAGCAAACAGGACAAUCAGUGUUGAAACUAACUUUUUGCUGCCUCUUGGCCAGGACUCCCUUGAAAAACUGGGUUUUUAAACUCAAUGGGACAUUCCUGGUUAAAUAAAGGUUAAAUUAAAAUAAAUAAAUAAAUAAAGGAUUAAUGUUGGCAGGAUUUUAUUAUGCACAAUUGAAUCAAUUGAAUACAGUCAAGUCUCAGAGAAGUUAACUGGUCUCCAUUAUAACAUAAAUGAAACACAAAGUUAGCAAAAACAUUUUUUUUUAUCUGUUCAAACAAUAGACUGUAUAUACUAUGGACAACUUGAUCCACUUUCAGUCAAUAUAGGAAUUUAAAGCCGAAUUGCUCUCUGGGAUUUUCUCCACUUCAUGGAACCACCAAUUGCACAGUAGCAUUGUAUGGGGACGAGCUACGCAAUCUUCGUACACCUCAUAAGAACAUUGUAUGGGGACGAGCUACGCAAUCUUACAGUAACUACAUGGCAACAUUGCAACGGGGGGGGGGGGUUUCUAUGUAAUUAAUUUGUAAAGUUUGUCCACAACUCCAUAAGGAUUGCUGGAGGAGGCCGGACUUAUGACCUAUACCAUAGGGGGGGGUGUUCUCACGGUGGCUACACCCAGCGAGGAGGCAGACGGACUCGAGUACAAACCAAUCUUACAGUAACUACAUGGCAACAUUGUUAUGUUAUUAGAGUAUACUAUGUGUCGGAGCCAAAACUGAAUGUUUAUGUCUAACUCAUCACUUAUGUCAAGAGAGCAUAACGCAACCACUUUCCAAAUGCCUAAUCCUUUUAUCUGUGUGAGUGGAUAACGUAAGUGAUCGCUUUUGUAGGACUUCUGAGGCUCUACAGCAUCCAAAUGUUGGUGCAAGUCAAACCCUAACAGAUCAUGUUGACAUGUUGUCUAUAUAAAUCAUCAGAAAUGUUCUUUACAUCCAACUGAUGGUAACUCAAGUAGCAUGAAAAGGAUAAACUCUUAAAUUAAAGGCAAAGUAUGCAGUUUGAUCCCUGACAGUCAGGGGUUAAAGAAAACUCAAGUUUCAGAAGCACUGGGAACACUUUGAUGCACUCUUGCUGUAAAGAGCUACAUCACUAAUUUAGGACUUCCCUCUUCACUAACACAGUUCAUAGUGGCAGCUGAAUACUGUUAUCUAGCUUAAUAAUAAGGAGCUUCUACAGUUAAGACAUGUCAGUUUGUCUCACUGCUUUUAAGUAGGAUUGAUGGUUAUUGGUCAGAAAAUGAAUGACAGCCCAGAGUUUGUAGAGUUUCAAAUUGUGUCACUAAUCUUGUUGAACUUGAUACGCUGUAUGUAGAGAGACACCUGUUUGCAAAUCAUAUACUUUGUUUAAACAAUGAAGCAAUGUCUCAUGUAUGUGUCCAGUCAAAUAAACCAUUAAAUAAACAAAACUAAAUAAACUGUCUAAAUGAGCUUCAUACAAGAUAAAACAUAAGCUAAAUUUGGCAUCAACCAACUUUGUCUGGCUGCCCUACUUACUCCAGACCACUUGGGAUUAGGAAUGGGCAUUUGAAGACAGUCUCUUGAUCGAUUAAACAUAUAAAUUAAUGAUCAAUCAUCGAUUUGAUUGUUUUUUAUUUUUUUAUUUUGUGUGUGUGUGUGUGUGUGUGUAAAUGGCAUUUAAAAUACCUGCCAGGCUACCGUAAUAACUUUUUUUCUCAUUCAUGAAAUGCUUUAAUUGGGUACAUUUCUGGGGACAACUUUACCCAGGGACAGGUCAUCCAAAACGGGGACUGUCCCCUGAAAUCGGGGAUGUCUGGUCACACUACGAUCCUCAUUGCCAGCAAGGAGCUGAUGGUAGGUUGAGAUGAGAGCACUCAGAGGAUUCAUUAACCUCAGUCGGAUAUAAGUGGAUUUAGUGGUACAUCAUUUGGGGUGUUGUCGUGUUGUACUUGUACACGGCAUUGCAGUGUUUGCAGCAAAUCUCAUCAUUUUUCCACUCGAAAUGGUUCCACGCCACACUUCGGCUUGCUUUCUUCCUGUUUUUUUUUUAUCAUGUUUUUUUUUUUACUUCUACAGAAGCCUGCUGAUGCCGUAUCACUCCCCUUGUAAAAUGUCAAUAUCCUUCCGCGGGGUUAUAGUCACUGCAUUUCUUUAACACACACACACACUGUCUGGACAAAGAGGGUAUCCCUCCUGAUUAGCAGAGGUUGAUCUUUGCUGGAAAGCAGCUGGAGGAUAAACACACGCUGUCAGACUUUUUUUUUUUAAUAAUGUUAGAUUUAUUGAAAUUUUGUGUGAUCAACGUAAUUCUUAACGAUCAAUUAAUUGAUCAUCAGUUAAUCAUGCCCAUUCACACUUCGGAUGAUUUGUGAUGGUUUUGGUUUUUUUGGUUGGUGCACAAAAAGUUGCCAAAGGCUAACCAGAACAAAAAAAAAAUUUCACAUACUGUUAACAUAAAAUGGAUGUAGCUGAUUACAAAUGACAGCAACAGGUGCACUAACAGGCUGAUGAUUUCUCAUGAUUGAACACAAACCUGCCUUUUGUCGCCUUUUCUCUCCGUUACAACAAACACAAACAAGACAAACACUCCGAUAUUGAAUGAGUAAAUAAAACACACAAAAUUCAAGUACGUGUGGCAAAUGAUUUUCAUUAGUUUUCUUGUCCUGUCUGUGGGAGUGGAUCCUUUCUUGCGGCAGUCUCCUUGUUUUACUUGCCUGGGGCUAAAAAUGCAAAUUUUGGUGUUGGGAUUUAAUUCACACAGUGUGAGAAAGUGAGGGGAACAAUAUCUGUAAAUUACCCUGCAGAAGCUCUUGCAUAUUUGAUGUGUUGAUUUGUGUUUUUACAAGUUAACUUCCCCUGUUGCACCUCCUUCCAAUUGUUAACUUCUUUCAUAAAGUGAUUCUUUUGCUGUAUGGAUGGAUGGGGUUACAGAGUUUAACAGAGUGCAAUUAUUUCUCCUCUGAAUGUUCAAGCUAAUGUAUCAGAAACUAGGGGAGAGAUUUUUGCCUUGAUUUGUAUUAAGCUCAUCAGAAGCAGGGGACUUAUUAUUCUUCCAGACACUUCAUAUUUUAUGACGCUGCAGUGACUCAGAUUUGGAGAGAUUAUGACAAGUGAGCCCAAAUCUAAAGAGCAGCAAACUGGUGCUUGUAAAAUAUCUGUCAGAAUAACAUCCACUAGCUCUGACUGUGUCCCUGACCACACUCCUCAGCCUUUUUCCUCACAGCAAUAGCAUGAAGUAAGAAACAGUGACUGGGGCUCCGGCAGGGUCAAGGCUGACAGCCUGGUAGCGAGUUGGAGUGCCAACCACAAUGCCUGCAGCCAGAACCUUGGCUCAGUGCAACAGCCUGCACUCCUCUGCCACAUGCAUGGAUGUCAUGGCUGCUCUGAUAGGACCAGAGGAAGCUGCAAGAUAGUCCAAGUCUAGCAGAGGGCAUGUCGAAAAAUAGCAGUUUAUCAUCUUCAAAAGCCUUCCACAUAGAUAUGGAGGAUGGAGGAGAGCAGAGGGAGGAGGAUUUCAUGUUGGCAACAUAUCCUCCCCUUCUGGCUAAAAGAACAGUAGAUUGAAAUGUGAUUGUAAGUGUGUGAGUGCGUGUGCAGGGUGUGUGCACUGUCCAUCAGCGAAAAUUGAGCAGCCAAAGAUAGAUUUUUCUGGGAACUUUCAUGCAGAAAAUCACCACCAUUCUGCGAUGAUUGGACAAAUACCUCUCUCACCCAAACCCUGCUAAAGCUGCUUGUCUAAGUUCUCCCUGUUGACAGCCUGUAACAUAAAGGCACAUUCAACAACAGCAAUUUCCAAAGGGAGUGUUGAGUGAAGACCUGAAUGCCAGAACAAUUGGGAAAGCUUUGUCACCCCAAGGCCCAGAAAUUGGCUGUGGUCAGUUUUUAGCACCAACUCCAAGUGAGGGCCUGGAAGAUGAAUGUGACUCCAAUACGUAACACUGUUUGUGCUUCCAUCUCAACUACCACAGGCAGUUCAUUAUGUGUUGGAGGUAUCCUGCUGGUUUCAGCAUUGCCCUGUCCUGAUAGAUUUGUAAUUCCUCAGCAACAUUGUGUAGAUAAAUUACAGGUUUGCGGAGGGCUCUGUGGACAUUUCUCUCAGUUUUUCCGGCUUUUCUGUUUUUUCUAUUGCUCUUUGAUUCUCACUCAGUCUCAGUUUCUUGCUCUUUAUUGCUCUUUGUCUUCCUGCCCGCUGGUCAAUAUUUCUCUCCUUGUAUCUCUAUGUUUCCAUCGUUUCUCUUUUUCUCACCUCCCCCUGUUCUAACCCCCAUCAAGGGAGGGCGAGCAGAGUCCAUCACCAGAAUGAGAAAACAGCAUCUCGAUGCUCAGGGGUUGUUAUUUUGGCCAGGAGUGCUUCAGUAAUAAUAUGUGGUCUGCUCUCUGAUGUUGGCCUGGUCCAAAGGUGGACCUCAACAGCCCAUUAAUCUUUGUGGCACGCAAACAUCCAUGUAUUCUGUACACACUUACAUCAGCCUCUGUGUGUCCAUCUAGUAUACACAUGAAUGCACAAAAAAAACAUAUAUCCCCUCCUCUCGGCUUCUCCUGCAUCACUUACUACAUCCAGUUGACCCAAGCUCUGGGAAAACAGGUUUAGUAAUGGGAUCAGUGGCCACUGGCAGGCCUUUUCACCCACAAUCUCAUCACCUCUGCUUACAGUAAGUGGAUGAGAGACAGGAGACUGAAAGGAGGAGCGAUGGAGGGUGAGGAAAUGCACUAAUUCAAGGCUCCUGGUGGGUUGGCUCUUUUUGUUCCAGUGGUCUAUGAAUCAGUGGCAGCAGUUAAAGAGAAAGAAAAAAGGCCCAUGACAGGGUAGAAGGCCUCUGUGGAGUACACACUGGUAUGUUUGCGCCAUUCUUUAUCCUCAUCAUCCAACGUGUCCCCUCAGUUCAUCUAUGUAAGGACUAAAGCAUGAUUAAAAGGGGUCGUAUUGUUUUUUCUUCUUUUUUUUUCAGACUCAAAACUUCCUCUCUGAUUCCUCUUUAAUAGCUUUACAUGAUGUUCAAAUUUAAAAUAAUAAUAAUAAUUAAAAAAAAAAUAAUAAUAAUAAUAAAAAUCAAGCCCCACAUUUCUCACAGUGGUGUAUUAUAAUAUUAUUUAAGUUUCUUUCUAAAAUGCUUCCAUUUAGCUGCCAUCUUUUUAAGGCCCCCCUCCUUAAGCCUACUUUUAUUUCUGAUUGGCCACCUCACUAGUCUUUUCAUUGAUAUAGGAGUCAAAAGCGUUAUGCUUCCCCUCAACCUCCCCCAUGCAAAAAUGGUAUGGUCCAUCAUUUCCCCCUAACCUCAAAAGUUCAGACCCUGCCUCCCUGCUGUUCUCAUAAAUUGAUCACAUAAAAUCUAGCAAAAUAAUGGUACUGGGAAAAAUAAAAGAGAUAAGUCUGUAAGUAUUGAUGAACAUCUUUUAAAGUCAUGAAAUAAACAAUGAAAAUAAAGCAGCCGAUGAUAAUCACAUGUGUUAAGGUCCACCAUUUUAGGAUUGGUCUUUGAAAUACAUCAAACAAUGAGUUUGGGUAGACCUGCUCUUUUGUAAAGUGUCUUGGUAUAACAACUGUUGUGAUUUGGCGCAAUAUAAAUAUAAAUUGAUUGAUUGAUUGAUUUUCAAAGGGUGGUUUGCUUUCACGGGUCCUGUUUCUUUGGGCUGCCCAAUAAGAAAUGUUAGGACACCAGGAAAGACAUGGAUUCCCAGGAGCAAAAGGUGACCUCUGAAGUAGAGAAGCCCAUUUUACAAAUACACUGACCACAUGAGAAUUCCCGAUCAUCAAUCAGGACAGUAAAAAGGAGCACAAGUCAUUUAUCUUCACUCGUAAUGCAUCUUUCCCAGGAACAGAGCUCCACAAGGAGACAGGAAGCAGUUUGAGGACCAAGAUACUUUGAUGGAAGUGGAAGGAUGUAGUCUGUCAUAUACCUUGAAAGCUUUCUAUAAACAUUUCAAGAAACACUGUACCUCACUGUUUGAACACUGAGUAGACCAGCUCUCAUUUUCAUGUCAGCUAUAGGCUUUGCUUAAAAAUACAUCAGUCAGAGAGAUGAAGGAGAAAGCCUUCAGAGGCGCUGGAAGAGAAGAACCAAACGGGGAUUCAUUGACAGAUUUGCCCUUUGCUCCCAGCUGUUACACACGUCCUUCAAAGAGAAAGUCACAAAGAAGGCGUAGCAUGAUUUCUGUAUUGAUAUGCUCUCAAACGGCAUGGAUACAUGAGCCUUUCUGCUCCCUGUAAAUGGCUUUUUUUUUUUAAGUUAACGGCCCUUGUUUUAAUAAAAAGGUUGAAAAAGGAUCCCAUGGUGGGUUGAAAUCACAAUUGCCAGUGAGCUGUGGUGCAUGGGAUCAAGCACUGCUGCAACACAAAAAAGAAAAGAAAAAAAAAACUGAAAGCAGGGCAGGAACAGUGAGGUUACCGACAAAUCUAAUUAGAUGGAAAAGAAGCUGUGAUAGCAGGGAGAGGGCUGGAGAGAGAAGCAGGGAGAGACAAUGCCAGAGGGCAGGCUGACUCACUUAUCAUCACAUUCCUUAUUCUGUCUUAAACUCCUUGGGACGUUUUUGGACUUCUGUAAACACCUUCCAAGUUUGUUGAUUGAGCGCAAAAAUAGAUUUGAUCAUGAUAAACUUUUUAAAGACAGAAGGUUGCUUAACAGGAGGUGCUCUCCCCCCUCAAACUCUCUAUGUGCAAGCUACACUACUUGAUCUGGCUCCAGAAGGUUACUUUCGGGAGGUUAAAAGAACCAAAGCAAGCUUUUAAGUUAUUAGGAGAUAAAUCUGUUUCAAAGAUGACAGUGGCGCUUUGAUUUUCAGUCCAGAGAACAAGGACAACAGGACUUUCAUCUACCUUUUUGAUUUGAUUAAACUGAAAUCGAUGUGCAGCUGUAACGAUCUGACCCAGGCUGACUCAGCCACAAAACUUAAACAUCACUAAAACUUUAAACUGUUAAAUAACCCGCAAAAAAGGUCAGCUCCAGUCCAUGCAGUGGUCUAUCAAAAGUUAAGUGUGCCUCAUGGAUCAGGAGGGAAAAAAACAACUCCUGCAGACUUAAGACUCAGUGGCAUCUGCUUACUUUUUCUCUUGGCCCCAUAAGUGCCCUUUGCUUACCAUGUCAAGAGUUGGAUGGUACAACAUUAUCCCCGGGCAGCGGGUCACUUUUUCAAAUACGGUAAAAUCAGGAAAAUGUCAUAGUGGAUGAAAAGCGGACACGUAGUUUACACAACUGCAUUUCAUUGUCAUCCUCCGUUAGAUCAAAAACUCCAACAAGACCUCCAGAGACUUGUGCCAAAAUUUAGCUAACGAACUGAACAAUCUUCAAACUUCCCAAAAAACAAGGCGUCAUGUGACAGACGACACAGACUGGAUGUAAAAGUGGAUGGAAGGCAGGUCUCUUCUUAUUUCCCACACUCCCCACCCAUCCAGGCUGUCGGCCCCCUGACUACUUCUGUUUAGUAGAUGACUGCAGAGUAGUGGCUGCUGCAGGAUGUUCUGGUUGUUGCAGUAUCUCCUUUUUUUUUUCUUUAUGAGUCCUCUGUAUGUUUUGUAAUGGAGCCGAAAACUGAACACAAACAAAUGUUGGCCUGAGAUGCAUGGAGUUUUGGGCUCAAGCACCAACAGCCCCAUGUGUAUCAAGUGGAACAUUUGAGCUCAUCAGCCAUUAAGUAUCAAAUAGCUGAAAUAUGGACCCAGUUUGUUCCCCCAAGAUUUGUCGUGUUCCCCCUGUCUUAUCUUCCUCUCCCUUUGUUCUUUUGUACAAUUUGUGAACACAGGAAACAUCAUGUUUUAGUCGAGGAUUGAGCAGGCUAAUUUAACUAAGUCCCAAAAAUGAGAUCAAUGUUAAUUUCAUGAUUACCCUCUUGAUAAAUGCAUCCACUCGUUUGUCUAUUUGGCAGUUGGUAAAGAUAAAUCUUUGAUCUCUAAUUUAAGCAUUUGAAGUCUGCUGUUGUCUGUUAAUUCUAUUGCUGCUUGUCUCCAAAUAGUCUUUUUAUCCGUCUCUUUCCCGGCCUUCCUGGUACAUGCAAUUCAGGCAGAUAGCUAUCUACUGAUGAGUUUGGUUCUGUUGGUGCUUUCUGCCUUUUACCCCUUGAUUAUAAUGAAAUGUGACGUUCACACCAGACUUGUGUAAAACCAUUUGUGUGGGUGAAUUUCAAUUUUCAUUUUAUGUAAAGUCAAGGUAGAGAUGCAAUUAGACACAAGUUCUUGUUGGGUGUCUCAUACCCUUUCUUAAAGUAUCUUCCUACUCUGAUCAUGAAACACCAAAUCUAGCCCACAUUCAGUAUGUUUCACAAUGAAGAGAGCAUGUCAGACAUAGCAUAGAGCAGUGUUUCCCCUAUAGUGCAUUUGGCAGGGCCCUGCCAAUGGAUGUCCCCGCCCUGCCAACGAGAUCCCAACCCAGAAAUUAAAGUCAUAGAUUAAUAUAUACCUUUCGUUUUUUAUAUAAAUCAAAACGGCCAAUAGAAUAUAAUCUGCACAAUUUCAGAUGUUAAAGAUUGCAACCGUUUCAUUACUUUUAAGAAAAAUGUAUCUCUCCACUACAUACACACGUGCUGACAAGACGCACCGCUUAGUUCAGAGGCACGGCUUGUCAGCACCAUUGAUUCUGGUUUUCUGGUGAGCGCUUGCCGCUCGUGCACUGCCAGUUUUGCACAGGAUGAAUUUGACAACCUGGGGUUCUGGCUCCUUUCCAUCUUAUUUGCCCCCAACAAAACUAUAAAAAACUGGUCAUGGAUCACCGAACUAUCCCCGAUCAUUCAGCACCCCAAUUGAAAAUAUCUGCAAACUUUAAAAAGACGGUAUGUAGUGAUGUGGAUGCCGCAUAUUCUCAUGUGGAUGCUAGCUUAAGCAUCUCUCCCAGCCCUGAAAACAGUGCCAGCUCAUCUGGCGCCACCAUGUCAUAUGGGGUGAUGUAUGUCAACGUCAUGACACCCCACCCCCACCUCACCCCGCCAAAGCGAAAAAGCUGGGGGAAACACUAUAGAGCUUCUGUUGAACUAAGAAAACCCACCCUAUACAGUACAGCCUCAAAAGUGGAAGGCAAAUACAUUAAAACACUGUAAAAAGAGACACUUUGACUGCUUAGCAUAGUCACCCAUGGUAGAAGCAGGUCAAAACAUGAUGAAACAAACAUGCUAACCUCGUUUAUGCGUAUUUACUGUAUGCAUUGUUGUCAUUGUGUGAUUUAGUUUUAUUUCAAGUUCUAAUAUGACUUUGUAAUCUGAAAAUCCAGCCUCCUUGAGCUUCGGUCUGCGGUGAUUCAAACAUUUUCCAGGUGGUGCAGAGCAUGGUGUCAGACCAUGCAGAAAUGUGGCGCACAUGUUUGCUGAGGAGUCAAGGGGUUGAAGGAAGUUUUUCUCGUCUUGGUUGCCAAAUUAUUGCUCAUUUAAGGAUCACCUCUGAGUUCUUUAAAAACAUAAAAUUAGAGGUACAGAACAUCUUUAUGUUACAGUAUGAUGAGUUAACUUUACUGUGUUUCUGAGAUACAUUAAGGAAAGUUUAUUGAUUUUUACAAGAUUUUUAAUAAGCAUACUUUUCCAAAGCCUCUAGCAGCUUAUAUGGUAAAAUAAAUUCAUUUUGCAUUUCUGUAAGCUCAAGCUUCCCUGCAAAGAGGCAUCAAUAGUAGGAUGUGUUGCUUAAAUAGCUCAGCAUGCUGCAGAGAUACUCUACCAGGUUGCUAGGGUCUCACAUAGAGUAUCAUCAUCAAUUAGCACAUGGUUGUCAGAGGCAGCUGCCAUCUUCUGGGCUCUGAUGUUGGCUCGCUGCUAGCAUGUGAAGCCAGGGAGACCUUUUUGUUUGAAAUUAAAACAUAGGGAUAUACCAAGCAUUUCCUCACAAACAAGGUUUUGAUAUGAAUGUGAGGUUGUUAAAUAUUGAACAGCAAAGUCCAUGGCAUUCUGUCCAUAAGGAGACCAGAGGGGGGAAAUGUCUAAUCGCCCUUGAAAAGGUAGUGCCACAGUUUUUUAAUAUAUUCUGCCCUGAUGCCCAGAAGAGUUGCAGCAGGGUGGGUGGAGUGGGGAGGUGCUGCCGGGUGGCAAGGCUGCUGUCGGUGCCGGGUGAUGGGGCAUUACUCUCGCGCCAUUGACUUCAUUACAGCCCCUCUCACAUAUCCAUCCCUCACCCCUCUCUAAAUGCCCUUGCCAGCCUCUAAUUCACUUAAUUCCUUGAUUAUCAAUUCUGACCGCAUUCGGGCAGAAAGGUCACUUUUUAUGCUGUGUACCUUAACUUCUACUACACCGACGCAAAAAAAACAAAAGCUACAUCUAAGCCCUGCCAAAAGGUUGGAAACAUGAAAAAUUGCAAUCGUACGCUACCAGUUGGUUCCAUUAAAUUUUCAUUGUUCACACACUUGCAGGCAUAUUGUAGAAGAACACACGGAGUGGUAUGCAUCAGAACACACAAGGACAGGGAAAAAGGGCAUGAACACCUCAGUUAUACACUUGCUACUAACACCCACCCCUCUCUCUCCCUCUCUUUUCUCUUUGCCCAUCCUUUUGAUGAGAUCGAGGUUGCCAUGGCGUGACUGUACGCGGCAGACGCACGAACAAGUGUUUCCCCCUGAGGAGAUGCGAUCUAAAUGGGAAAGCAACAUGACAGCUUUGCUCUGAACGGCCACAUAAUCAAACACCACACCCACAGUUACACACCAGCACUUCUGUUGGGGAGGCUUUCCACUCUGCGCUUCCUGCCUGUGAAAUAUACAGUACAAUCUCCCAGCAUCUGAAAAUCCUGCAUCUGUGCUAGAUUGUCCUUUUGUCCUCAGAGGGAUUAUUUAAGCUCCACUUUUUAAAGUUUUGGUUUUUCACUUUUAGUUUUCUGCACUUUUUCCCAAGUGUGUUCUUUAUUUUUUUCAUAUUUUUAGGAGUUUAUAACCAGUUUGUUUUGGCUAAACUUUUAAAAGAAAAGUAUUGAUCACUGGAAGCCAAUCUUUCAGUAAAGCAUGCCUCAGUAUCAUUUAUAGCUGAGCAUGUCACAUAAUCUGUAACACAUCCCUGAUUCUUGCACUCUGCUGACUGCUCUGAUACUUUUGCCACAGCAGCUUUUAUUGAAGCAAAACGUCAGUCUGCUGGGCUUUUUUCGACUCAUGCUCAGUCUGGUAUUGAAGCGGCGUGGGCAUCUCUGGCAUGUCUGAGCACGUCUUUAUGUUGGAUGGUGAGGUUUAAUUUUAGAUUCCCUGCUCUUUUUCCUUGCCAUUCAAACCACAAACAAUUAUUUCAAAAUAUGCUAAACACAUAAUUUAUUGUAAAUAUUUGUAGGCACAAACCCCAAGUCUUUUUCUGGGGAAGACUGCAUAAGAUUUUAAAAUAUAAAAAUAUAAUCAGACUAUAUUAACUUUGUGUGAUAUAUAUAUGUAGUAUAUUGAUGUCGACUGUAUAUAAAAAUAUAUAGUGAUAAACCUUUUCCCAUAUCGCCCAGCCCUGCCUACAAUGGAAGCAUUGCUCCAGUUUUAAUGGUGCUUGUCCAAUUCCAGCUACCCUUACGUUAUCCCUGUAACGUAUCAGCAUCUCUGUCUUUUAAGAUGUGUGCUGGUAAGUACAGAGGUGUUUCCUUUCCUCUUUAGGUAGAGGAGAAGGUGUUACAUCCAAGAUAAAAUAAAAAAAAAAAAAAAUAAAUAAAUAAAAAGGAUUCAAUUCAGACAUUCAAUAAUUACAUCUCAGUCCAUCAGCAGUAACUGGUGUAUUUGGACCAUUAAGAAUGGUUUCAUCUUUGCAUUUCGGAAUUUUUGCCAACAUUUAAAAUUGCGUUACAAACAAUGGUUUUGGGAGUGAUGAUGAGUCCAUCACUGUUUAAAUACAGUUCUGCCUGAGGUCCUGAAGAUCACAGCUUCCCAGUAAUGGUUGGUGGUCAUGUCCCUUUUGUAUGUAUAGAGAUCUCAAACCAAGUCUCUGAAUCUUUAGUGAUAUGGUGCACCAAAAGUGUAGGGGUAGAGACCCCUAAAAUCUGAUCGGUCACAGUCGCACCACGCUCUUUGACUGGCUAUUUGCUUAGUAAGAUGUGCCACUUUUGUUCCAAUCAACUAUUUGUAUCUGAAUUUCAAUGGACCGUAUAGAUGAUGAAAUCCCCAAGUUCUGUAUAGUUUCAAGCCUGCAACAGGAUAAACCUAAUCUGCUCUCCUCUCCGUGAAGUAUUUCCCAUGUCUCUGGUUAUAUUUCAUUGAGCAGUUAGAUGCUGGAGUUAUCGCCAAUUAAAAUGUUUAUUAAAGCAGACUAAAUGGUCACAGAAGCAAAAUCAGGGUCAGUUUGGCAAACCGCAACAGUUAGAUGAAAAGAAUUUCUAAACUGGCACUAAACGAGUCCUGCAGCAUCAUCCAUGUAGGAGAGGUGAUAUAUCAUAAAUCUGCAAGCUGCCGUCUGUAAGGCGAGGAUUUGACUCAAUCCACAUUCCUAAAGCUGUCAUUUCAGGCAAAUGCAGAUACGCUGCUGUACUUCAGCAUCUUGUUUCUUUUUUAAGCAUUUUGUGUGAACAGGCACUUGUAUGUGAGUGCAGACCCAAGAUAAACAUGCAUAUGUGUCUGGGAGUGAGAGUUUGUGUGACAGGUGGAGGAAGUGUUUUUUUAAGAGACAGGAGUGUGUGCCUGUGUUUGUCAAUGUGUGCAUCAAUAUGGGUGAAUUUACCUAGAUGUGUGAAGAGUAAAGUUUGAUGGUAAUACCUGACACUCUGGUGCUGGAAAUCCCAUGUUAACACACGCUUAUGGUACAAAAACACACACUGUGUUCAAAGCUCUCCCCAGCCUCUGACAGCUUGGCUGGGGAGAUUCGGCUGAUUCAUCUGAAUAAUUUGGCUUUACCCCUCCCUCUUGUUUCUUCUCUCCCUGUUUUCUUCAUCAAUCUCAUUUAAUCAGUCAUUUCCACCUGAGGAGGAUUCUGCCCACCUGCUCCCUUUUUCACAAAGUAAAAACUUUGUCACUGCAAUAACUGAAGGGAACCGUGGUAUCUUAUUGUUAUUGGUAUUACAGGGUAUUAAGUGAAACACAGGUGUUUGUUAUCACUUCUUUUCACUCAAAAGUUCUUUUCACUCAAAAGUUUGAGUGUGCACACAUAUACAUGCAUGUGUGUGUAAGUUCACUCUGGUGCCAAUAUAAAUACAACUACACUCCUGGCAGAGACACACCUGGGGUCAACAGGUCAGAGGUUUCGAUUACUGACAACAACACAGGUGAAGAAACGCUCAUCAGGAAGUAGAAAACAUUUGGUUCUGUAUUUACCUCUGGGCAUCAUCAGUGUUGCAUCUCCAGCUCUCUGGUGGUGUUGCACUUCAUGGGUGUUGUGAGUCUUUCCAAACCAGGGAGCACAGAGCCAAAUUACAACCAAGCAGAAACAGACCAAACACUUAACUAAGUGAAAGUCCUGGGUAAUAUGUUUUUCCUCUCAUUAGGCUAUAAUCAUAUAACCUAAGACAACAGUUGGUACAUUUGCAUUCUGAUCAAAAUACUUUUUUCAUUCCCUUAGUCCUGCUGAAACAGAACUGUUAUAAAACAUGUAAACACAUCAGUGCUGAAAGUUUAAUAAACCCAGCUUAGGUGUGUAUCAAGUGUCUCUGUGAAGUGGUUAUGUGCAGUGGAUCUGUAGCUACCAUAAACUGUACAAUAACUGGACCUGGUGUUGAUGAUGUCACCCAUUUGUUUAUGAAGAAGAGUUUCAACCAUAGACUGUAUCUAGAAUAGACCCCGCUGCCUCCUCGCUGGGUGAAGCCACCACGAGGAUCGCACCCUCUGGUGACAGGCUGCAGUAUAGGUCAUUAAUCUGUGGACAAACUUUAGAAAUUAAUAUCACGGAAUAUAAAUUUUUCUCCCUGCUGGUUGCGAUGUUGACAUGUAGUUACUUUAAGACUGGUUUGUGCUCAAGUCCUCUUUUUUUCUGUGCAGCUCCAUUUGAAAAGUUGUUAGGGGGUUCAUGUUUUCUAUGAUUGACACUUGAUACAGCCUAUGGCCGUAUGAAGAUUGCGUAGCUCACCCCCGUUUGAGCAGAGUGUCAUCACAGCAACUCUUCCGCCGAAUGCAUACAACGCUACUGUGCAAGUGGUGGUUCCAGGAAGUGGAGAAAAUCCCAGAAAUAAAGAGAGCAAUUCGGCUUCAAAUUCGUUUAAUGAUGAAAGGCAGAGCCAAGUUGUUCAUAGUAUAUACAGUCAAUGGUUUCAACCCCAUCAGUGGCAGUCACCAUGUUGUAAAUACUGACUCAACUUUUAGUAACUUUUAGUCAACCUACCAGAGACAGGCCUUUAGCUUCCUAACAAGUAGCUACAGUGUGAUUUCCUAUCAGUUAAGUCGGCCGUGCCUCCAAUUCGCUGAACUAGUAACCUUUAAAACGAAAAAAAAAAAAAAACAUACAGUGAGUGCCAUAAGAGCACUCCCUGGCUAUUCAGCCAAAAGACACCUUUGGAAGUGAAUGUUUAUUUUUGCCCUGAAAACAGGCAUACAUGUGUGUACAUGGAUUCUAGUGCAACUGCAGCCAGCCUUAAGCAGGCACUCGGGGAACAAUAGCACUUUCACUUCAGCUUCAUUUCUCAAGAGCAGAGGUUGCUGCUUGAUCUGUACGUACUUCGUAACUACCUGAGCUACUCCUUUGAGCUCUGCUAUUAUCCUGGUAGCUAGCAUGAUGGUGAAAUUAUUCUGUUCUAUUCUAAAAUAGUUAACACUGAAAAGAGCUUCACAGUAACACACAAACUGAAAGUAAUGAAAGUCCUCACACAGGAUGACAACUUAAAACAGAGCCCCCCAACAGGCCUGGACCCCAAAAAGUCUUUCCUUGUUGAUGUCUUCCUCUGCCCGGCCAGAUAACCCAUUAUACUUAGAGGUUAUGAGCUGGAACCUGGGAUGGCGAGUUAGAUUAGGUGCGAUCCCACCUCAUGGAGAUGCCCUGUUUCACUGCUGGCUUGUACUUUGUGAAAUACAAAGAACUGAAAUUGUACUUUGUGCCAACCCCAUCAUCUUUGACAGCUGAAUGCAAAUCAUUUGAAUAUACACAUAAGACCAUAAUGUGCUUUUGUGGUAAACGUCAGUGCAUUGAGUGCAAGUAUAUAGGAGGUUUGAGAGCAGGCUUUAUCCACACACCUUCCUCUCCUGCUCAGGUGCUUUGUGCCAGGCACUUCAUUAGGCUCGCUCUGCAGAUGGACGCUGAUGGAUCCAGGCUUUUUGAGCCUCAUUCUUUGUGACUUGUUGUUCAUUAAAAACAAAUUAAGUGUCAGGAAGCAUAACUUGUGCGUUCUGUAGUGCAGUUAUUGCUCAACAAGCUCUUUGUCUUGCAUCAGUGCAUGUCUGUGUUUGUCCUGCAGUCUGCCAGGCCAGUGCAGCUCAGUUUGUGCAUCAGAAGGCUACAUUUGUGAUAUAGUGCUUCAACUGAUAUCCCAAAAAAUUGGGUAUCAAUUAAAACGUCCUAGUCUUGUUGGUGGUCUGCAUGAGUGCCCACAACAUAAUAAAGCACGAGGUUGAGAAAGGAUACUCUGUCUUAAAUCUAUCUAAUUGAAUCAAGUCUCUGCUGUGCUAUCUUGAGGCCAGCAGCAUAAUGUUUAUUUUUUACCUUUUACUGUCAUGUGACACACAGAUUUGCUACUGUUUCUGCAUGCACAAUGGUCAGUUCUCUGAGUACAAGUGAAGUGCUGCAGGAAAGAUGGAUUGGAUCAGUCACAAAAAUGAGAAAGUGUGAGAGUUUGAUGUGUUUUAAGUCAUAUGUUGAACAUCACAUAUCCUUACAGUUGAGAGGGUACCUGACAGGGUGUACAUCCAGAUCAAAUUGUAUCACCAGUUACGAUUCCUCCAUUUACCCAUUUCUUUGAUUUGUCAGCAGUGAAUCUGAUCAAGACCACCUCAGAUCUUUGUUCUAGAUCACAUAAUCACUAGAUUAAGAAAGAUGAGAAGGCAGAGGAUUUGGAUCAUCAGUCCUUCUAAUACCUACAAAGAAAAACAUUAGACCCUGUACUUUUGACUGGGCUCCAUUUCAAGAUAAAAGCAUGGGAUAAAAAUACUGAUAGAGGAGUUAAUGGUUUGAAGAGCUCAAUUACGGUACUUUUGGGUUAUUUUUUUGCACUCAUGUAAAUCUAAGUUUAGUGCUGCGUGUGGGUCUGUCGUGUUUGUUUCCCUCCCAGUUUUUCUUUUCUUCUCUUUUGUCUAUUUUGCCUUCAUAUCAGCCUUCAGCCAGCUGUGGCUCACUGAAUAAGCAGGUCUCCAUCUAUUCAUUAGGUAGCGGGUUGAAUCCUUGUCAAGCAUUCAAACAAAUCUAAAUACAUUUGGCCAGAUGCUAAGGCCUACCUGCAACAGAGUUUGAUCCAAAAAGCCAACUGAACCUGGUUGAAGAUCUUGAGGAUAUUUCACUUCUCGUCUGAAAGGCCUCUUUAGUUUUAAUCUAUCUAAUCAUGAACUUGACUUGAAGUACAUAAAUUUGCCAUAUUUAGACCACUAAACACUGGGGUGAAGUGGAAAGUAGGGGAGAGUGGGUUGAUUUGUGCCAGGGGGGAAGUAGUGCCACCCCUGUUAUCAAGAAAACCACAGAAGAAAUUGGUCAUGUGACCAUGUUUCAAGAGGCUUUCAUUUUAAUCAUCCUGCAAAGAAGGGAGCACUUUUUUAAAUAUUUAUUUAUUAAUUUUCCUGCUUCCUAACUUUAGCAAAGAUGCGCUCGACAUGCUUCUGGGACGGGGCAGAGACACUUCCUGUGGAAUAUGCGACAUUGAUAAGAAUGAAAACACAUUUGCAUGAUGCUGAUGGAACGUGCUCAACAUGGAUCCUGUGGAAUAUGAACUUAAGAAUCCCUCUCCUGACCCUUCUCUAUAGCCAAAAGCCCCUACAAUGGGCAUGUAGGAUUAGAACUAGACCACAGAGCAGUGUAAGAAAGUGUAUUGAAGGAACAUGACAAUGAGUUUCAGGUGUAGACUUGGCCUCCACAUUCCCUGGAUCUCCAUCCAAUCAAGCAUCUGUGGGAUUUUACAUUUAGCAUGUACUAAAUCCAACCCAUGGGGGGACCACCUUACGACUUACAGGACCCAACUUAAAGAGGAUCUGCUGCAGGCAUCUUGGGUGCAAUCCAAGCCAGGGCCAGACAGCUGUACAUCAUUAGGAAGGGUGUCAUUAUGAAAUGGCUGAUUGGUAAUAAGCUGUGGGUCUUGGCUAUGCUGAGGAUUGCUUCAAAAUGGCCAUACACAGAGCUACUGGCCUAGCUUCUCCUGACAUUAUUCACACCUUAUACAGUAGGAAGGUCAAUAAAAGGACUACCAUCCAGUUUCUACAAUCACAAACAUACCCAAGGCUAAUGAGGCUUUCUGCUCCUGUCCGCAUGUCAGUUUAGACCUAAGAUAAGAGUUGAAUGACUCCAAGAAUUUCAUCCAAGUCCUGAUGGUUUUUGGUUCAAACCCAGACUUAAAGGGAUAUUCUGGCGUAAAUUUUAGUUAUGGUCAAACACACCAUAACACUGAGUUAGACACCCCUCUAGGAGAGAUGAUUGUAAUAAUUUAUGAUUAUUACUUCAUGGGAAUUCAAUCAGACCGAGACACUAAGGCAGAAGAACUACCAUGUCUGCAGUGCAAGAUACACAAUAACUACACAAGAUACACAACAACUCUGAUUGCUUUUCCAUGAAAUAAUCAUAAAUGUUCUUCCUUGAACUCCGAAACUCCUCUGGACUCGGUGAUCGACUUGUCAGGGCUCCCCCACAAACAAGCGGCUGCUGAAAGAGAGUGGGUGAGUUGUGUUUAGUCUCUUUGCCAAAGGAACCAGGCAAAGCUAAACAGAUGUUUGAUGGUUAGUACUAUGGCUGGGACCCUAUAUGUACUGCUGAUGAAGUUAGGUGCUGUUCUGAGCAUUAAUUGUGACUAUAGAGUGGCUUUCUGGUUGAGAUUUGCAUGUGGAGGCGUAGACUGCUAUAUAUUGCUAUUGUGUGGUCAUUGCUAAAGUUGUUAGAACUAGAGAAGCAAGAACUUGGUGUUAUGGUGUGUUUGACCAUAACUUAAAUUUACACCGGAAUAUGCCUUUAAAUGACCUUAACAAGGACCCACACAUGGCAUGUCAAUAAGAAGGACAUUCUCUCUGUUUUUAUGUGGGACUGUUUGUUUGGAUGAGUCAAAUUACAAAAGAAAAAAAAAUCUGUGAGGUGUUUUGGUGACUGUCUGCAGUAUAACAGAGUCAAGGGUCAUGUAAGCGUGCUCUAAUAAAAAAGGAGACAGACAAAAGGUGUACGAACACAGCACAGACAUGGUUAGCUGAAGACCUCAGGGUUGAUGACAGAUCCUUUUCUGACAUCCAAACUGUAGUUCACAGAACUUUAGCAUAGAACUGGUUUGAGACCACUUCUCCUGGAGGACCUCCUCCUGCAUUUUAAAAUGUUGUUACACAAACAUGCCCUUGAUGUGUAAUUCUGAUCAAUCACUCAGUUAACUCCAUUUUGACAUCAAUUGUUACCAGCAUGACUCCAGCUGGAUUAUAAACAGUUCAUAAAUGUUAUUGCCUUUGAUUUCAGCUUCAGCUCCACCAUUAUUGAAUUAGCUACCUCAGAUCAAUAGCAAUGUUAUCACAGAGCCCCAGGUGAGCAAGAUAUAAAGAGAAUAUCAGGUGUGACAACAUCGCCUGGAACACCAAUUGAGUUAGCCCCUCUCCUUUUCUUACAGCUGACCACAUAUUGACUGCUGGUGAGGGAGGAGAAUUGAUCUCCUUUUGCUGCUCAUUCUCACUCAGAGGUGACUUAACAUGGGAGUCAGCUAAAGGCAAUCACAGGAAAUGGGUAGUAGUCAGAGGAUGGGAAACAACGAGAGGGAGAUGUGCAGAGGAAUUAAGAGAUCCUGAGGGGAGUGGGGUUGUCUCAAAUUGGAGGUAUGUGGGGGAUCUGUGGUAAUCAAGGAGAUGGAAUACUGACUCAAGCUCUGCCAAACUAUAAGCAACUUCUGAAACCAUGACGGGGUGCCAGAACUGGGAAAGCAGUUGUUAGCUAUCUGAUAUAUAAAACGGGCAAAUGUGUGGUGUAAUAACCCAACAACUUAAAAUUUCAACCUAUAAAAUACUUUAAAUCCAUGUCUAAGCCUCAUCCUUUAAGAUCAGACCUACUCCCAUCCCAUCUUCAAACACGAGUAGGUCACUUUACAGAGAGUUUAAGGGAGUUACAGUUGAGACUUCGUUUAACAGGCAGAAACCUUAAGCAGAACCAGACUGAUGUUAGACAGUCAUCUGCUGAGACUGAGCUGGAAUUUAGAGAGGAGAGAGAGAGAAAGAGAUGGACAGAGGAGAGACUGAAAGAGGGAGAUGGAGAAAGAAAGUCCUUGUGGGCUGGUUACAACAUCCUGCUAACUUUCCAGGGUGCAUCCCAGACACCUUUUAAAGUUUGAUUUUGUCCUGUUCUCCUCUUCAGCUGUUCUUUUACACAUUCAACAUGUUGCGCUGCUCUUGUUGCACUGGGAAUAAAACCUUUGAAAGCAGAGUGUGAGAUUCAUGGAACUGCUCUAUGUAUCCUGGCAGGAAAUGUUGCUGAAUAAGUCAGCACGAUAACCUGCAUGCAGGUGAACAUGUGCCAGCUGUAGCUCAAAAGUGAAUAAAUGAUCAGGGCCUUUUACUACAAACUAAGAAAAAAGUAACACUCUUUAUUCAUAAGUAAGUCCGGGUCCUCCUCUACGUACUCCAAUCCUUACUGCAGUCAUUUCUGGAUCACCGUUAUGAGUACAUGUGAAAAUCAGGACUGAAGUCUGGCAGUAGUACAAUAACAAUGUUCGCGGGCUUAGCAAAGAUCUUUAAAAAAGCAGGGUGUCAUGAAUUUGAGAAAAAAGAAAUGAUGCUUCCAAUGCAAAUAAGUGUGGAUCUGGCUCAAGGCUGUUUGAUUAAAGACUCCAGUCUCCAUAAUGACUAGGAUGCUACAUUUAGCAGCUAUGGUUACUGUAUUUAAACUGCAUAUUGAGCCUUGUGCAGAAAUGGAGAAAGGACUUUCUAUAUGAUGGUUAAAGUCAUGUGAAAUGUGUCAAUCCAAAGUGAAUAGGCAAACCUUUCUUUUUGAAGGUUUGAUACACUGAUUUUAAAGCCCACACUGCAGCACAUGGUGCUUAUUUCUCAGUAUUUAGCUGAGUUUUUUUCAGAGUGAAAAUGAAUGAGACGUUACCUCACCUCUUAAUGCACUGUAACGAGGCAGAGGAAAGGAUGUGCUGGAGCUAUUUAGAGUUAAAAUCUCUUCCAUGUUAUUUCAAGAGUUUUUAUACCUAGAGUUACAGGUCUGUGAAGCACACACUGUUCUGGCUAGUGGCUUUAUGGCAGUAUGUUCCUCCAGCCCACAACAAACCUACAGUUGGAGCAUAUUGAUAACUCAGAGGCAAAACAAUCUGUGAAAUCCAUAGCAGUUUUUGAUGAAUGAUGCAAAGCAUUUCAAAAUCAAUCAGGAUUUCAAACGUGUUCUAGUGCAGUGCCAGCUUUAUUAAGAGUCCUUUUCAACACGAUGACAUUUUUAUUUUCUCUGCUUUCCUUGCACCUUGAUAUUCAUGUCAUGUCCUCAGAAAAGCCCUAACAGGGAAUAAUUGGGUCUUGUCAGCCAGCAGGAAAGUUAGACCAUCAAAGAUAAUUGCAUGCUAAUGUUCAAUAAGCCUUGUAAGUCGCUGCAGAUAAGUGUGGCUGCCAAACAGCCUUGCCAGGGGAAAGCACAUCUAAUCCCUUGGCUGUGGCCGGGGAAAAUUAAUACUAAGCUCCUCUGGCCAGCCGACUUCCAGAGUGGUGGUAGAAACAAUUACACAACGGACCACCAGAGCACAAUUAAUGAAUAACUGAGGAGCUGCCCAGAUGUACACUUUAUAACAAAGAUACAUCUACCCACUAGCCGUACAAACAAUUAAAAAUUGCACAGAAGGAGUGGAAGUGGGCUGUUUGUUCAAGUUCACUGGACGGUGGAGUUUAUGCAGAGGGACUGUGUUGUUGCAGGACUCUAAAAAGUCAUCAUUUUCAGCCCUCCACUCUGCUGUAGCUUCUGUUUACAUGGUGGCCUGUUUCUGUGUAAUAGCCUAUUAUAAUAUGCCACAGAAUAAACUAGGCAUAAAAAGCUAUCAUAGAACAAAAACUUGGCACAAGGGCUCCUCUAAAAGAUUACUUUUCCUUACUUGUUGGUAAGUAGGAACUUACUUAGUAUGUUUUAAAGGACAUUGGCUGUUAACAAUACCACAGGAUAUGAUACAAUACGAUAAUGCAUAACACAGCACAACAUGUUAAGCGUUUAAUUAAUACUCUGAAUAUUUAAGUCCAUUAUCCAUCUGUUAAAAGUAGAGUUGGUAAUCAUGGCAAACUGGCAUGGAAGUCCUUUAAAACAACGCUGCCGCUCACAUGCACAAACGCUGCUGUCUACUGAUUCAAAACCACAGACUCAAAACUUUGGUACUUUUGAUUGGGAAGUCUUUGCACUGCAGGGGGGACAAAGAAGGUAAUGUUCGCAUCGGAUGACUGCAUAACUAGCAACACGGCUAAAUACUCGAUCAAGAUUAAAAAAAUCACCCUGAAACAAACUCACAACGUACCUUUCAAACAGAAAAUGAGCGACCAUGGCAUCACUUUUAAAGGCCUUGACCUUUUUCAGUUCUCUCCAUGACUGAAAAGUUGUCCCCAUGUUGACUUUUAUUUUUGCCCUUGCUUUCUCCAAACUCUGUCUUGCUAUGGCCUUCUCUGCCACCGUCUUUCUUUUCUAGCAGAAGGAGUGGUCAACAAUUAAUCUUGGUCUAGGUAGUUUCUCUGCCAUUCUCCAGCAUAGCUGUAUCCCUCUAAGCUCGGCUAUGCACAUUGAAUCAGGGCCAGUGCACGCCAGUAGGAGGCGAGCACAUGAUUUGAUUGGUUUAAAAAUGUGGGACCCACACAAUGUGAUUGGUUGGUGUUUUCCGAGUUUUACUCCUGCUGUAGAUAGCGGCUAUGUUUUGCUCUUUUUUUGAGAACACAUCAUGUAUUGAUUACCAUCGGAAUAUUAAGAUCAAUUUGACCAGAAUAACAUAAAGUGUAUUUAAAUCUGAUUACCAACCCUACCAUUACAUAACUGAUAAUCCCAAAAAAAAAAAAAAAGGAAACACUGAGUUUGAAAAAAGCAUUUGUGAUUUUAUUCGAUUUUCUAAAAAAAAGUUACAAAUGGUCUCAAAAAACAGUACCUGCUAUGAUGUCAACAGGAUAUUAUAGUGCUAGAGGUGAUAAUAGUAGGAAAUUGAAGAAGAGACCAAGAUGGAACAGACUGUCUGGCAGGAAAUAAAAACAGGGAAUUAAAAAAGAGACAGCUGCUCUUUUAGAGGACGUCUUUUUUUGACAUUUAAGAAUUGGACAGAGGUUACCAUCAUCAAAUCACUUCAUUAGAAAUAAUAGCAAAGACAGAAGGCCAAAUUUAACGACAUCCAAUAACAGCUAAAUAAAACCAGAAUUCACUACCUAACUCCAUCUGAUAGACCUCUGGUUCUCUUCUCUUCUCAUGUUGAGUGGUUUUAUGAUUUAAAAUCUUGAAAACAUUAUUUAAAUAAUCUCUGUAUGUCCUUUUUUUCUAAUAAAGAUAUUAUUAAAAUGAAUAUUGAGUCAAAAAAUCUUACCACAGACUAGAAAACAAGUGCCCACACAAAGCCUCUAAAGAAAUCCGUUUGCUCAGGAGGAUGCUGAAACCACUUUCUGAUUCUCUAACUCUGUGUCUUCUCUGCAUUCGCCAACACAGCUGCUUGAAAGCGACGCGCGCACACACACACACACACACACACACACACACACACACACACACACACACACACACACACACACACACACACACACACACACACACACACACUAAAACAUGCAUGUCUGCCUUCACACCAGCAGCACAGUCCAUUUUGCCUGACCACUGCAGGCCUGGGCCACUUGGUUAUUUAUUGCUGUGUCCAAUAUUGUAUUACAAGAUGUAUAUGCUCUCCUCUCUAAUAAGAACAUAGAUUACAGGCAGCACUGAAUCCACUAUCUGCAUUCGAGCUGAUCGCUUGGCCUGCCCGUGAGUUAGCUUAUAUCUUUUUAAGCGUCAGCGCCUGGCUAUUUACAUUCAUCCGCUAAGCCUCAACACAAAUUAUAAUCGAUCUGGCUCGUGAUGAAAAGGGGUGGUCCUGCUGCAAAUUAAAAGCAUUGCAAGGUGACAAGGACAGCAGAAGCAUGACCACACAAUUCUCUUGGAGUACGGAGUGUAAUAAAAAUAGAAAAAUAAAAAAAAACCUUAAACCAAUAUGUCUUUGAAGGAUCAGCAGAAUGAGACAUUCCACAAACUUUAGGGCAGAGAUGGUUGUUGUGUGUUCUGCUCUGUGUUUUGUGUCACCUGCUUCUGUGAGCUGUCUACACUGAAGAAAAGAGAGGUUGCAAACAAAAGGCAAGUAUGCAUCCAUUUUAUAAACAGAAAAGAGCAGCUAAAUAGCAAUUGCAAAUUUCAGAACACAUGCAAAAUUCUCAAAUUAAAGCAACAGCUAAAACACACUGCAAAUGAAACCAUUCUUCAAAUCUAAUUCGAUGGAUUUACAUGGGGGGGGGGGGGGGGGGUGCUGCAAGGGGUUUUCAAAUGUUGUUCUAUGAUUGAUAAGACUGAAGAGACAUAGAGAGAUGAGAAUCCAUAACCCCUGAAUAAUUUUUUCUUCAUUGAUAGACUAAGUUGUUUUAGAUCAAUAGAGAAAUAAAGAGACAAUUUAGCCUUUUGCUUUCCUAAGAUGUUGGGGAUCAAGAAAAAAAAACUUUUACCCUCUAUUUUUAACCGUUUAGGUAAAAACAAAGCAAGUCUUGUAAUUUGGAAGAAUCACAACUAUUAAAGGAACAAAUCUGCAACUGUGAUUACUAUAUGCUGAUAUUGCUGUGUAAACCAAUGAGUGUAAGAGCACAUGUAAUGUUAUUGAUACUGUUAUUGUGAUCCUCAUCCUACGCAUCUCAAGUUCUGUUAUUUCCAAAAAGUCAAUCCACUUUGGAAGGUCAUUUUCUAAGGCUGCAGUGUCAAAGUCUUUCAGGUGCACAGCUGUCAUUUUACACCAAGACUAAAAAGAAAUGAUAAACAAAGACACAGAAUUUAAAUGUAAUAUCUCAGCACUCUUCAGAGUCUUUUUACUCAGGGUUAUUGGGCCUUCAACAAGUUGGGUUUGUGUGUUCUCACAGGCUUUGCCCUCAAGCGAUGCCUGAAGGUAUCUGGAUUUGCUGAAAUGCAUCUCAAGGAAAUGUUCAAAGCUAGAACCUGAAAAACAUGAGGAAGUUGGGUUUGUCACACAGCUCAGGGUAUAUAAUCGACAGUUUGUAUUAAAAAUAAAGCAGGAAAAAUCAAUUAGACUUCUUUGGUAAACUUUGAAAUCUUGUUAUAGCAUGUAGUGACAGCAUAGGUAACUCCAGCAGGACCAAUGAGGAGCAGUUCUUAACUCAGACAAUGAAACGCCUCUAGCAGUGUCCUCUUGUCAUCCUAACGUUCCUCCACACAGUCAGCCUGUCUGCAAGUCACUCUGUUCCAGCACUUUAAUGGAAUAAAUUUUCUCACCACGCUGACAGCUUCAGAUGUGUCUUUUGUAUGUAAUGUGCAUUUUCCUCAACAUCAAAUCAUGUCACCAUCUGACAGGCUGAGAAAAGGGAGCUACACACAUGUUGUUUGCUUGUGGAAUAAGAUGUUCAUUCUGGACACUUAAGUGAUUAUAAUGGAUUUGUUUUUCCCCAAAAUUCAAGAUGGUCUUUUUUUGUCUUGAUAGAAAUGGUGCUUUCUUCCAGCACCCAGCAGCACUCUUGACAUUGAUUGAGGUCUUAAAGACCUGUGGCUUAAGUGUGACUGAGCUCUGUGCCCUGAAUUUUGUCUUGUAUGGAAACUGACUGGGAAAAACUAUUAAGAGUUUCCCACUGAACAGUCAUCUCACACACAGAAAUGCAUGUGCUUGCACAUGUGUGCAACAAACAGAAACACACGCAUGCAUCCACCCCUACCCUCCACCUGUGGAAAGCACCGGCCUGCUGAGAAAUCAUUUCCCGGGCAAGCGAGCGAGGCAAUUCCGUCACAGCGAGGAGGGAGAAAAAGGCUUUUUUUAAUGGGGAAAAAUGGGAGGCAGGGGAAGAGUUAGCAGUAGCAGCCAGGAUAAUUGAUGGCAACUGUUUGGGUACAAGAUUAAGAUUCAUGGGUAGGACCACACAUGGGGGCUGGAAACCCGGCAGGCGCUGGAGGCAUGAAGGAUAUGAGGCAACACCUUGACUGGCCUGCUGGCUUAAUUGAUAGAGUGUCGUCCCAGAUGCGUGAUAGAAAAAAAGGAAAAACUAUCAGAAAGGAUUUCACUCACUGCGAGAUAGAGGCUGAAAUGGAUCCUUCACCUGGGCCUUACUUGAGAAAUGCUAAGAGAGAAGAGAGAUGGAAUAGGGAGGAAAAAGUGGUGGAAGCCCAGAGGCAAGAGAGGCAGGUUUGCAUGUGGAAGGUCAGCUGUUCUCAUCCCCUGACUUGCUGGGGGAAAAAAAAAAAACCUUGUGAGGAAAGUAUGAGUUACACUCUCCCAGUCUUCAACAACUGCCCUUGAGGAGCCUUUGAGCAGUUUGCUCAACACACAAUCAUCCCAGUGGAGGAGCCUGAGCCCCUGCUGUAGAAUCUAUAGAUGCUGCUGUGAAUGUGAGAAUAUGUUUGAAUGUGAAGUAAGAAGUUACAUGGAGCUGGGUGGACCUUUUUCUACCUGUAUCACCUUGUGUUUAAACAACAUGUUGCCCUCUUUACUAAGUGAUCACCUAUCAGUCAUUUCACAGAGUUCAAGGAAGACAAACAGCUUAUCCAGCUGCUAUACACAGGCUAAUCCUCUGUAGAUAACUGACCUACUGAACAGCUCACACCACCGCCCAUUAUCCUGUCCGCAUGCCUGGGCUGCUCUGUGAGUUAUUCCAGUUAAACCAGACACAACCUGAAGACAACUUUAUCUCCAUUUCUUUUUCAAAUCAAAGUACUUCCAGACUGUGCCAUGCUACAAAUAAAAGUUUGGCACAUUUGCAUGUUGACAUUUAAGCUGCAGCCCAUACACUAAUGUGACUAGUAUGCUGAUAUCUGAUGCAUGGAUUAUUACUUUUACCCUCAUUAAAAUUGUGCUUAAAAAGGCAAUUGGAGACUUUUUGAUGCAUAGAAUACUGUACAUAUUCCAGUUUUGCAGCUUUAUUUUAAAUAUUUUUAGCCUAUAUUUUCUCUAAAGGUGCAAUUGUCCAUUUAAAUUUAAAUCCGUGUCAUUUUCUAUUUCUUGUCACUGAAUAAACCUCAGAAAUUUCUGUAAUUUUACUGUUGAAAGUGGGUUCACCUUCCCUCAUCUAUCAGUGUAACUGUAGGCUGAGGACAACAACUGUACCUGUGGUGUACAGGGUAGCAAAAACAAGAGGUAUACACAGUUGCACAUACAUUGCAAAUUGCUGAAUGGGAGUAAUUAGAGAAAACCUAUCAUGCAAUUUUCCACCUUUCAUUGUGUCAGUCAGGGACACUUAUCAUGGUUUCCAGCUGAAAAGGCUUCUUGUUAAUCUUAUACUGAAAUUUGUGACAUUUCAGCACUUUUCUGCCACUGCCUCAUGCCAGCUAUACAUCAGAGGACUUUGAGAAGAUUUGGAAAAGACUCCUGGGAAACUAUCAGUUCAUACCUGCUCACAUCUAAAGACAAGUUUUUAGAUUUUUUAGUCACAGCCUAGUCUCAGACUGAGAAUUUACAAAGACUGCCAAUCUUGCAGGGUCACUAUUUACAAGAUACAACUAGAUUCUUUUAGCUUUUUUUUUUUUGACAGUGCAGCAGAAUGACAACUGGGAACUCGCUAAUGCUAAUACUCGGAACACGUGCCCAAUGGUGCAGCCCGUGUGCGCCAUACAUUCUAGUUUUUCUUGUUUUGACUGUCAGGCUUCUAUUCCCGCUUUUUUCAGAGCUCAUCUAUUGGUUGUGUUAUGUCACUGUAACCUCUGAUAAUAUCAAACCCAAGACUAGGGAAAUACUGAUACAAAACAGCGCAGAUUACCACCUUAAACUUAAUGAUUGAGAUGAUGGGAGUGCACUGUGACUCCAGUAAAACUCCUAGAUUUACUUAAGACUUUCAGUUUUUAGUCUGGGACUGUGAAAAUUGUUUGGUGGAAGCCCAUCAUUAAAUUCUCACUUCUGUCUGCUUCUCUUGUGAUGUGAAGUUAAAUACAACUGGUGGAUGUUACUUUUUACACAGUUUUGAGGUCACUUAAGCACUCUAAAGUUAUGCGUUUACAUGAAGUGUCCAAGGGUAGUUAUCAGCACCCACUUAGCUCUCUAUUUAGCCCCAUUAGCAUAUGAUGUAUCAUGUGCUGCUGUUAUGAGGGCACAGAGGAUUCAGCAGCUGGUUUUUGGUUGAUAGCUCUGAAAAGUUAAACAACAGCCUAGUGCACUGACUGUGUGUGUUAGCCUUACUGUGUUUGAGUUGUCUGACUGUACAUAUGUGUGAGGUGAAAGAUAAUGUUCUUGUCUUAUCAUAUGCUUCCUUGGAUUUAGGGUAGACAGAGUUUAGUACGGUCUUCUGCUGCUUUAUUUAGCUGCUUGAUGGGUGCAAUCUCACAUAAUAAUAAAAAAUUGAUUCAGACACCUUAGCAUUGUGUGUGUGUGUGUGUGUGUUUAACUGUGUUUGUUUUACUUAUUAGCCCCUGAGAUCCUGUCAAAUUCCUUAGCAUGUCAAUGAACACAAGACUGCCAAAGGCAAGACACGCAGACACACAUGCAUGGAGUAUUCUCUCGUUUCACACGUUCAACACCGUCAAACACACACUCACAUAUGCGCACCAAUUUCAGAAGUGAGCGGUUCAUUUGACCCCAUUGCUCAGCCUAUCUGGCGUCUCUCUUUAGCAGACUACUGGGAUAUGAAGCACCUUAGGGGUUUACUGUGUCUACUAUUAGCAUAUAAAGAGCAUAAAUUUAACUGCACCUUGUGUUAGCAGGAAGCUUCUGAGACUGCAGGAGAGCAAAGCAAAGUCUCACUGGGAAAACUUAAAAACUCUGUAUUUGGAGAGAGGCUCUGCCUGAAGCUUUGGGAAAGUCAGGCAGUUUAGUCAUGGAAUUUGUUAAUCACAAAUGGAGCCGAAAAUGCACAGACAGUAUGCAGGUUCAUGAACGGAGACGCUGAUACAUACGAUUUUUGCAUAAUGUGCCUGCACAAAACAAGCCUGGUUACACAGAAAGUCCAACUGAAAAUCUCUCUUGGCAUUUUUGGAGAAACUUUUAGAUAAUGAAAUGUGGGCUGUGGGACCUCUCUGGUACUAUACUACUUUCAGGAUGACCUCUGCAGCAGCUUUCUAAUUAGGCUAGGGGGAGAGAGGAGUGUUUUGAGCUGGUUUUUACAAAAAGCAUAUUUGUAGCGUAUUCACUCAACAAAGAUCAUGACACAAUGACAAUUGACACAUAUUUCAGGCUCAGGUGUAUCCCUGGGAGAGGUUGUCUGUUGUAUUCACUUUCCUUUUAUGAUGAUAAGUUAACCACCUAGGGGUUAAAUAAACCACACAUCAUGGUUAAGUUAAAGUGAACCUGUUUUACUGCUUUAUGCAAGCAAGAAAAAAAAAACCCUAAACAUUUAACUCAGGGAUAAAGUUCACUAAUUGUAAUGCAACCCAAAUGCUAUUUAUUUUUUUUCAAACAAGAUUCAUUUCCGAACUAGAGCCAAAUUAGACAGCAAAAAUAACUCAUUUGGUUUGUUUUUAAUUUUUUUGGUUUAAAAUUGUAUUUACAACCAGAAUGCCAUUUUUCUUAAACAUGGCUUAAAUAAAAGUUUUAAAACUUGAACAAAGAAAUUUUGUUAUCUUGCGCUUGUCAAGGUUGACAUAUUUUGUGAGACAACAGACAAUUGAAUUACCCUUCCGGGAUUAAUAAAGUUAUUCUUAUUCUUAUGGAAGAUACAUUUCUCUCUCCUAGAUGUCCCAUUGAGUUUCUUCAGCACAUCACUUCUAUGGUCUUUGGAUGUGAAGGUGGGCUACAAGCCACUAGCUCAACUUGCCUUAUCCCAGCUCUUAAAUUAGGGUUUUAGUCUGGCACCUCAUUUCUUUAAUUAUCUUACCAACCCUAUUAAACUGGUAGCCUAACUUCCCGACUUUACUGACUUUACAAGAUGGCGAGCUAUUCUAGUUGCUGAAAGGCUCUGGCAACAGGUGGUCCAGAUGAAGGCCAAAGGGAUGAGCCUGUCAGCAAUAGCAAGAGAAAUUGGUCUUACUGUGAUUUCCACAAUAUUACAUCUUUACAGAGUCACAAACUCAUUUAAGUCCACCAUGAAGGCCAAUCGUCCAGAAAAGACAAAUGAAAGAGAGGACAGGAUAACCUCAAUGGACAAUCGGCUCAACACUGCAGCUGGAAUUGCUCGCCAAUUCAAUGCUAAAAAAAGUAAGACUCAAUCUCAUCAUACAGUGUCUCGAUGUUUAAGAGUAUUUAGACUGAAAGCCCACUCUGCAGUGACCAAACCUGUCAUUAGUAGAAAGAAUCAAAAGGCUAGACUAAGCUUUGCUGAGGGACAUGUUGUGUGGACAGAGGAAAACUGGUCCAAAGUUCAUUUCAGUGAUGAAAAUAAGUUUAAUGUACUUUGGUCCAAUGGAAAACACUAUGUGUGUCAUCAAACUGGAGAAAGACUGCACCCAAAGUGUGUAAAGAAGUUGGUGAAAGGUAGAGGAGGAAGUGUCAUGGUUUGGGGGACAUUUUCUGCAGCAGCAGGAGUUGGGCCUCUUAUUCAGCUAGGUAACAAUAUCAGAGCCUUCUGCAACAACAUAUGAUUCCAUCCCUGUUCAUCACCCAAUCAGCCAGCCAUUUUCAUGCAGGACAAAGUCUUCUAUGACACAGCAAAACGAACAAAGCAGUUCCUUGAAACUAAAAACCUUGAAAUAAUGAAAUGGCCAGCCCAGAGUCCUGAUCUAAACCCAACAGAAAACCUCUGUAAUAUCUUUGGCAACACAGUUGUGACCAAGAAACCCACUACGGUCACCGAACUGUGGAAGAGACUAAAACAAGAAUGAACCAAAAUCAUACCAGAGCAGUGUGAGGGACUGGUGAUGUCUGAUGGCCAAAGAUGUGCUUAAGUCAUUCAAAACAAAGGCCUGUAUACUUCCUACUAAUGUGUGACCGUUCUAACCUUCAGAUAUUUUUGUUGUCAUCCUUCUUUGUGCUACAGGCAUUGCUGUUCUUUGAUUAUGAUCAUUGUGUUUUCUGCAAAAUGAAGUUUUUUGUUUUUUUUUCUUUGUUAAAAUUCCAUUUGUUGUAAAAUAAUAUUCUAGUAGCACAGUAUUGCCACGUUAGUUGUCAUUAGUUGUUGUCUAAUUUUGUCUAAUUUUGAUCUCCAGUAUGUGUGUAUUUAUAUAUAUAUAUAUAUAUACAUAUAUAUAUGUAUGUAUAUACACACACAUAUAUAUAUAUAGACUGAAACUGGACCUUAAAAACAUGUAAUCACAUUAGUUGAACUGAAAUUUAACCUCUCAUUGUUGGAUUAACAUAGUUAGACAAUGUGGUCGGACUGUAGCUGGUCUAAGCAGUCUGUACAGUGAAGCGCUAAUCAAAAGCACAUCAUGUUUGUUUGUGUAAUGUUGUUGACUGUGCCUUUAGCUGACUGUUUACAUUGUAUCAGCCAGGAAGACCUUGAAUAAUUCUUUACUGGGUAAUGUUUCGCUGUGAAACCACUGUGCAUUCACAAAGCGACAAUAAACAACUGGAACCAUUGCUCCAAUAAAGCAUGAAAACCAACACAACCUCAGUACAAAGUCCUCUAUAGUCCUUACAAGAAAUAAACAGAAAUCAAGAAAUCUUAUGGAAAACCUUAAGUUAUCACACUUCAGUAUUGUUCUGAGAACUAAAAUCCACAAAGCUUAAUCAUGAAGGGAAACAAGCUCCAUCUGUUUCUACUGCGGUAAUCUAACUUAUUAAAAUGAUUUUAUACCAUCGUCAGCGCCACCAAAGUCAGCUCUCAGGUCUAUGUUGUUGUUGGCAGGGAUGUAAAAGCUCUCUAGAUUCAAACAGCAUAGGUAAGAGAAUAAACUGGCGACUCAGACUGAUUCAGGGACCCUUCCUAGAGUGAUUCUUGAUAACAUCACACUGUUGCAGUAGAGGAGAUAAUGCAGGUGUCGGACAAGAGGGUCAACAAGUCCUGUCUGCUCAACAAGCCUGAACCUGCUGUACAAAGGCUUUUUGAGAGGCCAUCAAAGAGGAGGUUAAAAAGACCUCCAUCAUCCAUCCACUCACACUAAAACCCAGCUCAGAAGCCACACAGCAGCAGCAUUUGUGGGCGAAUCAGAGAGCAACGUCCUUCACUGGCUCCUUCGGUCUUUGAUGGAACAGCAGCUGAGUCCUCCAUCAGAGAAAAUCUCCACCCCUGGUCUUGGUAAUGAGGGCUCUGGAGAAAAUAAAGGUGGUUCAGGUGCUACUUCAUAUUUAAAUGAACUUUACAUAACUUUAUUGUAAUAAUUAGACUUAGCCCGUUUUUUUCUUUACCUUAAAAGCAUCCAGCGCUUCAUUCGUACAAAGACGACGUGGCUGGUGCAUUUGUACCAUGUCUUUUCUUUUUAAAAGUGGUACUUUAUUUUUUUCUUUUACCUUUUCACAAACUCAUCACUGAGAACCAUUUCAGAGCAUAAAAAAGUGGAUGCGAGUUUUAGCCAAAAGAUUUAAAAUAAAUUGUAUUGCAGCCUGGUGAGUACAUUGGGUGUGUAAGGGCAAACACAAUCUAAAGUGUACAAAUGUUUGUAGGUAAUGGACCCAGUUUGAAAUAAAUAUUUUAGUAAAUAUGCUAAAAUGAUUUUACAGCUAUUAAAAAGCUGUAGUAAAUCAGUAACUAAUAGAAAUAAUAGGUAAAUAUUUUGUAGACCUCCCCUGUAGAGCUUCCCCUCUCCAUGGAGCUUGUACUUUCCUAAACAAGAUGGAAGUAGAUAUCUGUUAACACCGAUGUUGUUACCACCAACAUUGAUGUUAACAGAUGCUGUUGCCUGGAUAGCAGGGCAGAAUUUUGCUUCACUUUUCUCUACCAGAGAUGAUUGGGCCUUCUUGUGACGGUUUUGUCACUGUAUCAACAAGCAAAUGUCAAAUGUAGAGGAACUCCUCCCUACAAAUGAAUUUGAUCAGGCUGUCUGCAGUGUCCCUUUUGUUCAUGAACAUUAAUCACUGUUGUUUUGCCAUUUUUGACUAAUUGAAUCACAGCCUGAAAAUAAAUAAGACAGUGAUGUGAUUGUAACAAAUCUAAAAGUGUCUAUUUAGAAUUUAACACUCAUUUUAAACUCUGCUAUGUUCAAAUUUGUAUAUUGUACGAUAGUUUUAACUAAGCUGUCAUACCUGUGAACAGCAUUUAAAAGCAUAAAACAGUGUGAGCAGCUUGGGCUUAAAUGUACAAACUUUCUGUCUUUGGAGUAAUUGAUUUAUGUGGUGUAGGGUUAGCCAAGGCUAGCCAAAACACAGGUAUAUGAGUACAUUCAGGUGAUACAAUAAUGCUUUAAAACCAUAAAAAUUCUGAAUACGACUUACACUCCUAAUAAAUCAAUUGUUGUCCUCUUUUUUGAAUUGUUAUGUUUGCUUUUUCCCUCCUUGUCUGUGUUCAGUUUCAGUUAUUAAUUUUAUAACUGUAAGAUAUGAAACAGUCCUUUGCAAAAAGCUUUUCUGGACUGUAAAGAAAAAAGGCACACAGGUUCAAUACAUUUGUACUGGUCAGUGAGGGGGCCUGAAAGGUCUUCAGCAGCCCCACUGUGGGCCCAGCUUUCAGUAAAGAACCAGCAGCCAGAGGAUUCAGUGUAAUGAGGUUUGUGUCAGUGUCCCCCUGUGACAUGGAUAGUUUAUUUUUUCAUUUUCGUCUGAAGAAAAGUUUAGAUCUUAGAGACACAGAGAGCUCAUUGUGAGUGAGAAUAAAUGAACAGCGCUCAUACUUUUAAAGUAUUGGUCUGAGCCGUUCUUCAAGUUUCUAGAAACUAACAUUUAUGUGGACUCCAUGGAUCACUCAAUUGGAAAGUAAGGUGUGUUCAUAAAAGCUUAAUAAAACCAUGAAACAUAGGAGACGUAGACCGCUGUGCACUGCUAUUGUGCUGUCGUUGCUAAAGUUGGUAUAACUCGAGAAGCAACUAGUCGGCAACAUUAAUCUCUCGAGGGGGUGUAUAACUCAGUGUUACAGUGUGUUUGACCAUAACUUUAAUUUACGCUGGAAUAUCCCUUUAACACAUAGGUCAGUUUGUCAUAACUUGUAUUGCUGUGUAGGCUGUAAAUUGACUAAGCUGACCUGAUGGAUUUUUACCUUUAUUCCUUUUUGGUUGUUGCGUCUGCAGUUGCACCGGCCAGCUCGCCUCUGCAUAUCAGGGAGUAUUUUGGCUUUACUGUCUCGCAGUGGUAGCAAAUUGGACACACCAUCCAUGUUUACAUUGUACAAUUCCUGGCACUAACCCAUGACAGAGUUAAUAGGCAAUUAAAAUAACUUCAACAAUUUAAUCAGUCCUCACCUCACUGAUCCUGUUUACUUGUGUACGUCAUAUGGAGGCAUCAGUUUUAAUUUAAGUCUGUUCUAUCAAUAUGAAAAAAAAUCUCGGGCUUAAACCAGCGCUUCUUUGUGCUGUUUGUCAUUACGUGGCGUACAGUCUGAUUAUCAGAGCUUUUAUUCCUGAAAAAGGCAGCAGCCUGCUGCAUGAAAAUCAGUCCCAUCAGCACAGCCACAUUACUGAUCGUACCCAUGAACCACUUGCUAGUCAGAUUUGUAAUUUGGAGGAAAAAUGCAGUGCAGUCAGGUUCUGUGCGGUGCACUCUCUAGUAGCUGCAGGCUAUCCUCUAUCAACCUCUCUCACACAGAGUUGGGGCUGUUUUCACCACAGAGGACAUGAAUGCUAAUUUAUGGUCGACCAUAUGGAGACAGCGACAGCAUCGUUGGUAGGCGACCAAAGCUCGUAGGGCAGUGAGAGGUUGGCGUUACUGGACUGUGCUGCCAUCACGAAACACUCAUCUAGUUAUUGUUUCUGAUGCUUAUUAAGCUGCUCGGCAGAUGGACAAUAAUCUGGGCCAUGAUUAGCAUCAGAAGCACUGGCUUGUAACUCAUACUUAGCCAGCAGCGCUCAUGUGGGGGACAUUAGUGGACAAAGGACGUCAAUGACCUCAAAUGUGGUGCUUUAUAUCCAGUGCAUGUAAUACAAAAUGAAGAGUUUGAGUGCAACUUCUCCAAGGUCCUCCUGUCUAUUCAAGGCACGAGCUGGGCUAUUGACAAUGUUUACUUAUGGAAGUGACAUUUGCAACUUUAUUUAAUUCGGUCAGUUACUGGCUAUUGGGAUGACCUUUUGCCGGCUUCCCUGACAGAAGCCUAUAAACCUCUGAGACUCGCCAGCUUUAUAGACAUUCAAUAAUCGCACAGGGCACUAUUGAUGAAGUUGUUGUGUGCACUACCUAUGAAAUGAAUUGGCCGAGGAGCAGAAACCACAGCAGUGCAGUGCUUGUGUAAUCUGAUGAAGGUGUUUAUGAAAUUAGAAAUUGAUGAAAAUGCGGCUCUGGGGUAUAUCAGACUUUUUGUAAACUCAUUUCGUGUUUACUUUAGAUGUAAAUAACUCUGCCUUUACGUUUACAUUUAGACUUUGGUUGACGGUGGCAUGGUGAUUGCGUCAGAGAAAGUGAUGGAUGCAUUCUGCUCUUGUCUGGCGGUUGUCUUUUAGAGACACAUGGGGCUGCAUGCCAUUUAAAAACAACCAAUCUAUCCCUCAGAAAGUUUUGUGACUGAGAAGGAUAGAUGGAUGGAGAUUACAGAGAGAGAGAGUCUAUUUUUACGCUCAUAGGAGAUGGAUAGAAGUCAGAAAUUCCUCCAUAUGUCUUUGGAUUCUUUAGCUGUUUCUGAAAAAUAUGUCAUUCUGCCAUCUUUCUUGAUCAUUUUGUCAUCAUUUAGAGGCAAAGGAGGAACAAAGCUACUCAUCAUUUUGCCGUCUAUGCCAAAAGCAAUAAACUGUAAAAUCCCUAUACAUUUAGACAGAUAUGCAUCUGCUUAUAAUCUCCUCAUUAAUUACAUUCAGUGCACAAUCCAGAAUUAUGAUAAUUCUUUGCUAUAAUUCACUGCAACAAAAUUCACUGCAAGCAAAUUAAAUCGUUAAAUGUAAAGAACACAAACAGUGACUUGCAUUUGUGCUUCAGCUCAAAGUUUGCAGGGGAAUAACAUCCAUCAAAUCGCCAAGAUAAUUCUCUUUCACAGAAAAACCUGCAGUUGAGAAAAUUAUAGAGAUUUUAGUUCUUAGGGUACAAGGUGAUGUUUUGGAAGAGUCUGGAAAGGCAUGGGACGUCACUUUAAAGAGCACAAAAUGCACUUCUUACAGUGACAUUCAGGCUCAGGUGUAGCAAACUGAGCACAGCCAUGUAUCCACAUAAAAGUAAAAGAAAUAAAAGAAACACAAGGGGCUCUAUUUUCGUGCCUCACUGGAGACGUGCCGCAGGCGCGGUGUAAGUCAGGUCCGCCGAGCCAACAAGGCGUUCUCAAGCACAAUUUGGUAUUUUGGUGAUCGGUGCAGCCCGGCAUAAGUAUCCCCCCUCCCUUACUCAGCUCCUCCCAGCGGCGUAAGUCAUAAGGAGGGAGGAGAGAGGGCGUGGAGUGGAUUAAACACAGCCGAAACCUGUAUUGACCAAUAACAUCAGCUCCUCUCCUCGCCUUUAAAUCUGCCACUGGUGUGGCAAGGUGUAUUAUUAUUUCCGUGAAGUAGUCAAAGUCAAAGAGAUCAAGAGAUGUCUGAUGACAGCAAUGCCACACGAUGGCGACAGAAGGCAGCCCCUCAACAAGUGUCACUGUAAGCGCUGCAGAGGGCGUCCCUCACACUGUCUCAUAUAAGCACAGAUGGAUUUGGUGUGUGUAAGUUUGGAUCCACUAGUAAGACAAACACCCUUCCCACAAAAAAAGACACUCACAUAAAGUUGCACAUAUUCAAACCUCACGUCACAAAGGUGGGUUGUGCGCACAGAUUACAUCAUAAAUUCCAAAAAUGGCAUUAAAAUCGGGAGCAUCUGUGUGUAAAUGACGCAUCGUGCUCUGUGGCCUGGCUCUUUCUUUCAUAGAUGUUGGCAUAUAAAAUAGAUUUGGCUCACAAAACUGAAUAUUAUAAUAUUUGUAUGUAGGCUUAAAGUAGAUAACGCAUCUGAGCACUGAAACAAAUCAUCUGCUCAGCCGCUGCAGCAGCAGCUGCAGCAGGACGGAGAGAGGACACAGAGACAUGUCCAGGUCGAGCUGCGCGAGAAAUAAGAGGAAGAGGAAGAAAGAAAAGGAGGGAGAUGAAUUACAUAUCUGUUUAACUUCAUCAUGUGUGUCUAUUUACUAGAUAUUUGAUUUAAUUUAAUGCGGUUUCAGCUGUGUUGAUUCGGUCAGGUUGUGUGUCCAAACGCGUGCCAAACGCACUCAUCAGAUCAGAUAUAGAUCAGAAUAUAUCGAUAUAGAUCUAAAUGUAUGUGCUGACUCAGAUUAACAGUUGUUGAUGAUUAUUUAUUACACUGAAAUGUGCCUGACACUGUGGAAACCUGCCGGUGAGGCAUCGGUGACGUAUGCCGAUACACCGCAGGUCUACCAAAAUACCACUAGACCAGCUGUGCUCCGCCUGCGCUGAACGCUGACCAGGUUUGAAUCGGCGAGCUUUCAGCGCACUUUAUACGCCACCGGCGAGAAUGAAAAUGUCACUGCGGCAGCUGAUUCUGUCGACACGUUCCUCUGCCACGCCACCACGCCCAGCAUGGCGGACCUCGGUGCGUCUCAGUUCAUGAAAAUACCAAACUGGCUGUACGCCGGGCUCCGCUAGACAAAAAUACCACUGCGGCGGACACAAUAAUAGAG